UUUUUUUUUGUCACUAUUUGAAAGUCAAUAGGUGCAACUAGUAAUCAUGUUUUGAACACUUAGUUAGGUCAUAAGAAACCAGGGUUAUGAUACUUAUAAGGUACAUGCAAAGUCGGACCAAGGAAACGGAAGUAAAAGAAAGGUAAUCAAGACGUAAAAACAAUGGCAGUUUCGACACCCUACGAUGUUUUGAGCACUACUGUGGCUACGCAUCUCGGAUUCAGGCAAAUUUUAUGCUGUUUCGAAGCUAAGACAUAGACCUAUAUUUCUUAUGAAGAUAUCAACACCCAAUUCUCACGUUUUCAGGGUCGAACAGUCAUGGUCAGAGGCUUCCGCAAAAUCAUGACCAGAAAUAAGGCUUUGCGCGGACACUAGGAUUCUGGCCGUAACUCAGGCUACAAUGAUCCGAUUUAUCUGAAAUUUUUUAGGUAGAAAUAUAACUCAAUUGUCUAGCACUUUUAUGUUUUGGACAAAAGCUGUUUCGAUCUACAACAUGGAGAAAUUUGCAGCUCAGUUUUAGUCACAAAACAGGGCAGAAUUAAACUGUUAAAGAAACUUACCCAAACCCUUCACACCGGCAACAUUCUUGAAAAAUUUUGAAACAGGGGUUACAUUGGUCCAAACUUCACCAAAUUUUGACAAAAAAAACUACAUUCAAAGAUCUUCAUAUGUUUAGAAGGUCCCUUUAAGAGCUUCGGAUCACAACCAAGUCAAAUUUUAGCUAUACAGUCCAGCAGCUAUAAAAUUAAAGUAGAACAGUCUCGAAAAUCAGCAAACUUUGGAAAUUUACCAUAAUUCACACAAAUAGAACCAAGGUCUGAAAUUUUCAUGGUUUCUAUCCUCCUGAAUCAAGUUUCCAACGCAACAAACGAAACUCAAUUCUGACCUUCCUACACCAAGUUAUGACUAUUCUCCCGAAACUGUUCCAAGGUACCUGCUCCAAUUCGAACUUGCAAACUAACCAUUCAAUCACUCGUAUCAAUGAAGCCCUAAAUUUCAGCAAUCAAUCAUCAACCAAAAUAGAAAGAUUAGUCAUGAAUCAUCUAAAAUUUAACCAUACUUCUCCCCUUGUACAAGAGGUCCAUCAAUUAACAAGUAUUACUUACGAAUCAAACAACUAGUUACAUGAACAAAUGAAACCCUCAAUUUCAGCCAAGGUAACCCAACUUCAAGUCCAUAGAACUUCAUAAAAAUCAUGUCUUUAGUCUUCUAAUCACAUCAAUAAUUAAAGGCCCUUCAAGUUCAUAAGAAAAAGCUUGAGUUUCUAGUUUUACCUCUUGACCAAAGGUGGAACUUAGAAGCAAGAAAAAACUUGGUUCUUCUUGGAGCAAACCACCUCCUUGUUCAAGUUUUAGUGAAAGAUUGAAGUGCUAUGGCUUUCCCCUCUUGAUUCCUCCAAGUUCUUUGCUACAACUCAAGAUGAAAACAAUGAAGCUUUCCCUCUCUUUUUUCUCUCCUUAUCCACGGCCCUCUCUCUUUCUCUUCAACUCUUCAAGAGACCAAGUUAUAAGAUAUACACUAGCUAAUGUCUUGGUCAAGACUUAAGGGGUGUGCAACACUUGUCUUACUAAGAUUACUUCUUAAUCAAAAAAUCUCCCAACUAUGAAAUUAUUGAUACCUAGCCCCUUUAAUUUCCUUAUCUCUAUAAUUUACCCCACUAACUUAUCAAAAUAAACUUGGUUAUACAAGUGCAACUCACAUUCAUUUCCAAAAACAAAGAAAGCAAAGUCAUCCACAGACUACUAAAUUUCAAAGUAAGGCUAAUCAAGAAAAAAAAUAGUUUUAACGAAUGGUGUAACACCUAAAAUACAUAUCUUUAUCUAUUCAUAUGGGUUGGUUUGAGUUCUCACAAUAGAACCAAGGAGCAUAAGGGAGAAGUUGGAGCAAAGCACUGAGAAGUUUUCUUUUUUCCAACUAUUUUAAUAUGUAUUACUUCUUGGAUUUGUGUUUUAAUUCUUUCAUCAUGUGGAACUAAACUUUUUCUAGGGUCGGAGUUUUUGUGAAGGAGAUUUGAUUUAUUCUUCCAAUUACAAUUCUUGUCUUUCUCUAUGAUUUAUUUAUUUUGUUCUUAAUUACAUGUUUAUGCUUGAUCACCAUGAACGUGAAUUUUGGGUUUGUAUUGAAUUGAGAAAGAAAAUACAACCAUACAUUAGAUAGAUAAAUCUACUUAGCCUAAUCACGAGAGUAAGUUAGAAUUUGUAUGAAACACUUAUAUUACCUAAGUUCUUAAAGGGUUUAAUUAAAAUUUUGUGAUCUUGUGAAAGACAUAAGAUUUAAUUAAACAUACUUUAGAUGCAUUGAGAGAUGAUCUAGAAUACAAUUGUGUGAUGCAUUCAUAACUUCGCAAGAAAAUAAUUAAAAAAUUUAUUAAAACUCGAGAUUAAAACUUAAACCCUAGACUCGCACAACUAUGGUUUUCUCACUCAAAUCUUGAUUAAUUAAGUUGACUACUAGAUCUUCAUUAAUAAUCCAAAUACUUUGCAAUUUAAUUUUUUGGGUUAGAAAAAUUAAAGUAGAAAAUCAGCUCGUCCUUGAGGAUUUGAUCACUGGAAUGCUCCAGUUGAUCUUAUACUAUGAUUGACCUUGUAUACUUGCAGGAAUCCGUCGAUCAAGUUUUUGGCACCGUUACCGGGGACGACGCUUAAUUUCUCUACUUUAGUUAUUGUUUUUUAUUUUUAUUUUUGUUUUAGUUUAUCAUAUAUUUAGAUCUUCACUUUAUUUUUAAUCCUUUUGUUAGGUACUUGGUGUAUGACCCGAUCACAAAAGGGUGAUUUGAUGUAUGAUCUUGGAAUUGAGAAAACUACAAAGUACUACAUGAAACAAAAUCAUUUGCGAAAGUAGACACCACAACCACCAUCACCUGAUAUCAACAUCGCAAUCAAAUUGGCAGGGUUAGCAAGUUCAGAUGAAAAAACAAUGGCAAAAGAGAAUUAUAGUAAUAAUAAUAAAAAUAAUAAUCAACAACUUGUGCCACCUAUAGCUCCACCUGCUGGUCUUCAUUUGAGGGAAAUCAAGAGCCCCGUAGUAGCAGCAUUCCCAUACUGUAUCAGGUUGAGUGAAGGGGCAAGAAAUUAUGAGUUAAAGACCAUGCACUUUAAUAUGCUACCUGAUUUUCAUGGUCUAGCUAAUGAGGACGCGCUCACUUCCAUUCAAAAAUUUUAUUCCAUGGUGCAGACUUUUCUGUUAAAUAGACUAUCAGAAGAUGAACUACAAAUAAGGUGCUUCCCUUAUUGCCUUAGGGAUCGUGUAAAGUCAUGAUUUUUGAAUUUAUUAGAAGGAUCCUUGGCGACUUGCUAAGACGUGUACAACAUCUUUAUGACUUAGUGUUACUCACCACAAAAAACUAUUGAUUUGUGGAAUAAAAUCUGCACAUUUUCUCAAAUGGAAGGAGAGCCCAUUCAUGAGGUAUGGGAAAAAUUUAAGCUACUACUUGCUCAAUUUCUUCAUCACCAAUACCCGUUGGCUUUACAGGUGUAAUUCUUUUAUGACAAGUUAACAUUUACCUUACAAAACAUGGUGGAUUUUGUAGCAGGAGGAUACAAUGGGGAUGAAUCUUCGAAAGAGUUAGUUAGGAUUUAUGAGUUGCUAUCAAGUAACUCACAACAAAAAAAAUCCAGGGUAACAGAGCAAGUGUUCACGAAGUGUCUACACAAAAGAACUUGGGUUAACAGGUGGCUAAAUUGAGUAGACAAAUGUAACAAAUGCAAUCAUUACUCACUCGUGAAAUUGAAUAGGCAAAGUAUUGUGCUAAUUGUAGCAUGUAUGGGCAAACUACUGCGGGCUACUAUAAUAGAGAACCCGCUAUUAUGAUAAAGGAUGUGAAUUUUGCUAGAGCCUAUGGAGGUCAAGGAAUGAUUCCUUUUCAAACACUAACAAUCUAGGAUGGAGUACCCAACUUUUCUUGGAGGGAUCAGGGGAAUAAACCUCUAGGGCAACCAGGUUUCCAAUAUCAACUGCAAAAACCAUAGUAUCCUUCUCAACCUAUUCAAGAGAGAAAGCCAAGCAUGGAGGAUGUGAAGCUUCAAUAUAUGCAGAAGAUGGAUCAAAUGGUCCAGUCCCAAUAAACAUCCAAUCAGAGUCUCGAGAAAUAGGUUGAAUAACUAUCAAAGGCAAUGAUUGAGAGGGAGCAAGGUAAACUGCUAAGAUACCGAGGUGAAUUCCAAAAAAUUAACAAUGGCAGUCACAUUUCGAUCAAGAAAAGUGCUAGAUGAACCUACGCAAAGACCCAAGAAAAAAGCGAAGAAGCAAUAUGAGGUAUUAAAUGAUGGAAAAAGUGAAGAGACUAAAGAUAAGAUACCCAACUCAGGUGAAGAUGCUGCAACUGACAAUAUCCAGGUGAAGUUGCUUGAAGUUAAAUCAUAUGUUCCACCUAUUCCAUUUCUGCAAAGGCUAAAAAGAAGGGCAAAUGAAGGCAGAGAUCAGAAGUUUCUCCAGAUGUUCAAAAAGUUGCAAGUGGAUAUCCCAUUUGACAAGGCAUUGCAAACAUGCCAAUUUUUACAAAAUUCCUCAAGAAAGUCAUGUCAAAUAAGCAAAAAUUGAAGAAAUUUGCCACCAUGCCAUUAUCUAAAAAGUGCAGUAUUGUGAUCCAGUAUCAUCUUCCUAUUGAAAAGUAGGAUCCAAGGAGUUUCACAGUGCCUUGUUCUUUUGAAAAUAUUCAUGUUGAUAAGUGUUUGUGUGAUCUAGGUUCUAACAUUAAUUUAAUGGUGCCUAAAAUUGUGGUUCUUCAAUUAACUGAUCAUUCAGUGAGAUGUUCGAUAGGAAUAAUUGAAGACAUGCUUGUUAAAAUUGGUAACUUUUAUUUUCUUACCGAUUUCUUUGUACUUGAAAUGGAAGAAGAUGUGAAUAUGCUGAUUAUUUUGGGUAGAGUGUUUAUGGUCAUGGGUGGGGCAUUAAUUGAUGUUUUAGAAGGAAAACUGAUUUUGAGAGUAGGUGAGGAUAGGCAAGAGUUAAUAUGUUCAAGUCUUUGAAAUGUCCUUCUACCGAUAAAGCAUACUUAUGUAUUGAUGUGAUUAAUUCAGUAUUCGAUAAAACUGUCGAACAUAAAUAUUGUAGUGAUCCUAUUGAGCAUGCUAUUGCUUUGAGUUUAAAUAAUCAAGUAGAGGUUGUCAACUUGUUACACUCGGCAAAACGCUUGGAAAGGCAGGGGGAACGAUCAUUUGUUAAGAGUCAAUAAUUUGAAAAUAUUGCUGCUUUAAGUGAAAAAACUUGCCCUCAAUUGGAAUUAAAAUCAUUGGUUUCUCACUUAAAAUAUUCUUUCCUUGGAGCUAAUGGAACUUGCUCUAUGAGUAUUUCCUCUUCUUUUAAGUGAUAUUGAAGUUGAUAAAUUGUUACGAGUACUUAGGGAUCAUAAAAUAACUAUUGCCUGGAGUAUCACUGAUAUUAAAGGCAUUAGCUAGUCUGUAGUCAUGCACAGGAUAUUAUUGGAGGACAAUGCUAAGCCACAAAUGGAAAUCAGAGAAGGCUUAACCCUAACAUGACAGAAGUAAUCUGAGCAGAGGUCAUCAAGUUACUUGAUGCUGAGAUUAUUUAUCCUAUUUCUGACAGUCUUUGGGUAAAUUCUAUCUAGGUGACCCCAAAGAAGGGGGUAUGACAGUGAUAAGAAAUAAAAAAGAUGAAUUAACUCUACAUGUACUAUUACUGGGUGACGUGUUUGCAUUGAUUACAAGAAAUUGAAUGCCGCCACCAGAAAAGACCACUUUCUACUACCAUUGGUGGAUUAAAUCCUAGAGAGAUUUGCGGGGCAAAAAUUUUACAACUUGCUGGAUGGAUAUUCGGGAUAUAAUUAGAUUCCAAUUGCUCUAGAAGACCAGGAGAAGAUGACCUACACAUGCCCAUAUGGUAUAUUUACUUAUAGGAGAAUGCCAUUUGGACUCUGCAACGUGUUUGCAACCUUUCAGAAUUGCAUGAUGGCUAUCUUCUCAGACAUGAUGGUGGACAUCAUUGAGAUUUUUAUGGAUAAUUUUUUUGUUUAUGGUUCCUCUUUUGAUAUUUGUUUGGACAAUUUGAGUCAUGUCUUAGAAAGGUGUGCAGAGUUUAAUUUGGUCUUAAAUUAAAAAAAGUAUCAUUUUAUAGUGUGUAAGAGUAUAGUUUUGGGCCAUAAGAUUUUAGAGAGGGGAAUAGAGGUAGACAAAACCAAGGUUGAGGUAAUUGAGAGAUUGCUUCUAUGUAACUCUGUCAAGGUUAUUAGAAGUUUUUUUGGACAUGGAAAUUUUUAUAGAAGAUUUAUAAAAAAAAAAAUUCAAGAUAACUAAACCCCUGUGUGAUUUAUUAUCUAAAGAUGUGGCUUUUGUCCUUGAUGAUGCAUGUUUGCAAUCCUUUAAUAAGAUAAAGAAAGAACUCACAUCUAUACCUAUAAUCACUGCACUAGACUGGAACUUGUGUGAUACUUGUGAUUAUGUUGUAAGAACUGUGUUAGGACAAAGAAAAGAUAAGAGACUACAUGUUAUACAUUAUGUUAGUAAGGUCAUUAUGAUACCCAAGUAAAUCACGCUACCACUAAGAAAGAAUUAUUAGCUACUGUAUUUGCUUUUGAAAAGUUUCACUCUUAUCUUGUCGGUUUUAGAGUAAUUGUUUAUACUGACCAUUUUGUUAUUAAGUAUUUUUAUCUAAAAAGAAUGCAAAGCCAAGUUUGAUUCAUUGGAUCUUGCUUUUGUAAGAGUUCAAUUUUGAAAUUAAGGAUAAGAAGGACUUAAAAAAUUUGAUGGCUGAUCACUUGUCUAAAUUGCAACAAGUGGAUUUACACGAUAACACCCUUAUAGAGAACAAGUUCUUGGAUAAGCAUUUAUAGCCCAUCCAAAAGAUUGAGAUACCUUAGUAUGCUGAUUUCAUCAAUUAUCUUGUUUCUAAUAUUAUGCCUAGUGACUUGGCUUUUCAGCAAAAGAAGAAAUUUUUAACAAAAGUGAAGCAUUAUUUUUGGAAGGACCCUCUAUUGCUCCGACGUUGUGCUAAUGAGGUUAUGUGGAGAUAUAUACCGGAAGAAGAGAUGUGAUCAGUUCUUGAACAUUGUCAUUCUUCUCCUUACAGUGGUCAUCAUGGGCCAGAGAGAACAGUAGUAAAGGUGCUACAAUCUAGUUUCUUUUGCCCAACAUUGUUUAAAAAUGUCAGGACAUUCGUGCUAAUUUGUGACAAGUACUAAAGAAUAAGUCACAUAGAUUGUCAUCAAGAGAUGUCUCAAACAGGGAUAUUGGAGAUUGAACCAUUUGAUGGUUGGGGUCUGGACUUCAUGGGACUGUUUUCACCAUCAUAUGAGAAUCUUUAUAUUUUUUGGUCGUGGUGGACUAUGUUACCAAAUAGGUUGAAACAGUGGUCUUAUUAGAUAACAAAAAUCAAAGCGUGGUGAAAUUUGUCAAGCAGAAUAUCUUUACAUGCUUUGGAGUGCCUCGGGUUAUUCUAAGCAAUGAUAAUAGCCAAUUUUAGGCAUUAUUGGCCAUGUAUGGAGUGAAAUUUUGUACUGGAGCCACUUAUCAUCCCAAAUUGGUGGUCAAGUGGAGGUGUCUAAUUGGGAGAUAAAGCAAAUCUUAAAGAAAACGGUGAAUUCGUCUAGAAAAGAUUGGGCAAUGAAGCUUGAUAAUGCACUAUAGGUAUAUCGGACUGCAUAUAAGACUUCUUUAGGUAUGUCCCCAUAUCGACUAUUUUAUGAGAAAUCAUGUUAUUUAUCGGUUGAAUUGGUGCAUCGAGUUUAUUGGGCGGUCAAAAUUUUGACCCUAAAAGUACUGGUGUAGAACAGUUACUCUAAUUAAACGAGUUAACAAUGAGAAUCAAAGUAAGGCUGUUAUUGAUUCGAGUGAAGUUCGAGUAGUGCACUAAGCUCUACUUGAAUUAAAAUCUCGAACUCAUCUAGUUCUUCAAAGUUGAGUUUGAGCUCGAGCUCGAGCUUAUUUUACCUUACUCAAGCUCAACCAAAUUGAGUUCAAUUGAGUUCAAUCGAGUUCAGUCAUAUUUUCAAGCUCAAAAAUAAUUAAAAAUUAUAUUAUAAAUACACUACUUGAUAAGACUCGAUGAGUGCUUGAGUUUUGAUUUUUCUACUCAAAGUCAACUCGAUUACCUUAUCAAGUAGCCUAAACUCGACUAGAAUUUGACCAAUGCCAGAUUCGAUUGAGCCUUUGAGGAACUACUCAUGAGUCUAAGUCGAGUAGAUUGUUUAAUUUACACCCUCAAACCAAAGGGUAAUGAAAUCCAUACAUUAUGUUUGGUAUACCUCUAUGGGAUUGGUCAUUACCCACUUUUGGGUCUUUCAAUCCCAUAGAUUGAUUAGUGUAAAUUGGGAACUAUUGACCUCAUGCUCCACUUGCCCAUUUUGAAGUAAAAAUAAAUCAAAUACUUCAUCAAAUUAAACCCAGGAAGGAAGAAAAAAAGUACGACGUCCUCUCUCUCUAUCUCUCUCUCUCUUCUUUUUUCUUCUCCAUCACUAUCCAUCCUUCGCAAGCUCUUCCCCGCCCUCUUUUUCUUCCCAUGCUUACAAAUAUAGUAAUAAGUUGGAGCUAAAAGAGAUUGAGUGGCCAACUAUCCAUGGAUCUGUCAAGUUCGAACUACUUGAUAAGGUAAUCAUCAACCCAAUUACAUUGAGAAAUUUGGAUCUUUUAGGUGGAUCCUUAUUUACAAGAGAUCCACCCAAUUAUCCACAGUUGAUGAUUCAUGGAUCUACCCAUGAAUUUGGAUCUAUAUUAGAGAGUUGCUAGCUUUCUAAGAGAUGAUUUAGACAGAAAUGGUCCAAGGAAAAUUAAUUACUUUGGAUAUUAAGAAGUUAGGUUCUUGAUUCUUUGGUGAAAUAUUUGGAAUCUAACAAAGAUUUUGUUAGUGAGGGGAUCUAAUUUAAGUGCUUUUGCACUUUGUAUGUGAUGGCCUCACCUCCCCCUAGGGCGUACCCUAGGGUUUAGCGAGUCGCCUGCCCAACUCUCGCCAGAACUCACUCACUCAUAGCUCAAGAAAAAUAACGUUCAUCCAUAGAAAAUGAAUAACACAUCCACUUCAACUGAAUAUAUACAUUGAUACUCAAAUCCAGAUACAAAGCUUCUACACAUCAAAAUACUUCAAAGUGUCUACAAUUCGAGUACAAUCAACCCUAGUCGGGUACUAGCGUGAGUACAAAUUUAAAAUUCAAAACAACUAGACUACGCUAGUCUGUACACGUCUCACGCCUGGCUCGUAUCCCCUGUAAGGAAAACAAAUGACAUGGAAUGAGCUAAAAGCCCAGUGAGGUUCCAAAUAGCAAGUUGACCAUUAUUUAAAGUGCAAGUAUCAUGUAGUAAAGUAAUGAGCAUGAAAAAGUCAUAAAAGUGAGCAAUAACACUUCAAGUAGCAAAUCUCAAAACGAGCGAGUGUAAAGGUUUUCUUUUAAAAUGAAACAAUAACACGAUGAGUACUAAUCAUUCCAAAGUAUAAGGAUACAGAUGGCUCUCAGGAGCCAAAUUUCCAUUGCAUCACCAGAGCUUGAUCAAGUAAUAGUUGACACUCCGUCAACUUUCAAGGAAGUAACCAAUCCAGUAGAGCACCACUUAAACUACUCUCCGUCCACCAUCCAAACCCCCUACUGGGCCAAAAAUCCUCAAUAAACACUGGUGGUAAUACUCGAGUAUACCGAUUAGUCGAGGAGAUAUCACUCCACUCGAUAAAACAAAAGACCCAGGGUUCGUUACCCAAUCGAUCAAGCCCUUGCUGGCUCGACUCGAGUAACUCGCCACAGGGUUUCUGGAAUUCCAGGAAGUGCGCACCAUAUACACAAAUAUAUCAAAUCCAUUGCAACAAUAAACAAGUAUAUCUCAUCUUAGGGCAAGUGCGAUAAAGUACACUCUUGCCCGAUCAAACAAAUGACAUAUCAUUAAAUCACAUUGGUCAAGUAUUGAAAAUAAGUGUCCAGUUCAAUCAGGUAUUUGGAAUCACCCACCAAAGGUCUAGUGCCUCUCAAAAGUCAUGUUCAGGUCCAACUCCUUAGUUGGAGUCCAAAUCUGCGAUAAAAUAUCAUUUGCAAAUGUAAAACUCUUUAGAGUUCGAAACAUAGGAGUUUCGCUUCAAAAAAAUCAAGUAAAUGCAACUCGUUUAAGUAGUAUUCACGAUCCUUAUCAAAUACUGAACAAUUCAUGCUCGCUCUUAAACCUUUGAAACUUUGAAACAAUUAUACUUUGAAAUACCAUUUGAGUCGAAGAAAUGGAGAAAACGUAUUUCUAUUAGUCGUAAUUUCAUUUCCUAAGGGUACAAGUUCGGUCAAGUUCUAACUUAUAUACCUCGAUAAAAGAAGAUGCAAAUAUCCUAGAUGGUUCACGUGGUAUUCGUUCUUAAGCCUUACUCGAGUUGCAAAUAUAUCUAUCUAGCUCUCGAGCGUAAAUUUGGGCAGCACGCCCUUUAUAUUUACCUAUUUUUCAGUCAUUUAUGACUUCAUUCUUUUCCUCAAUCAGUCCCAAAGUCACACACAAAAUAAUCUCAUUUAAAUAGCCCUUCAAUAGGCUCAAAGUCAUACAAGUACAAAAUCAAACUCGAAAAAUGUCCAGAAAUGAAGUUUAAGUCAAAAAACAAAAGAUAGAUUUGCCGUCACUUAGCGUAACGGGCACAACCGAAGCUACGCUGAUCGGAUUGGGGUGCAAUGUAUACCAUUUCGAAGCUAAGACAAAGGUCUACAACUUUGAUGAAGACCACUCAGUCCAGUUCAUAGUGUAUCUAGGUCAAAAUUUCAAAUUACAGAACCAGAAUCUCACAUUCCGGCUAAUUAACCGCACUAUGCGUAAAUGGCAAUAACUCAGGCUACCAAAGUUCGAUUAAGGCAUUUUUAGGGCCGUUGGAAAGCUAAGACAUAGCACUACAACUUCUAUGUUUUGGCCAAAUGCUAAUUUAGUAUGGAUCAGGGUGAACAGACACGGUCAGAUUGGUACAAUGUCAAAACUGGCCACAAAGCUCUACCUAUGGCAGUUAGGGGUAUUUUUGUCUUUUCACAUGUUACAGUGCUCAAAUUGAGCUGAAAUUUUACAAGAAGUUAUAAAAUAUCAUUCUCUACAACUUUCAUGUUUUGUACUAAGCCUAAUUAAGUCUAUCUCAUGGUCAAACAGAACCGGGCAGAACAGGGCAAUUACAAAACCGAAAACUGGAAUUCAUGAAUACAAGUGCUAAUCUUCACAAUUUUAGCUUGAAACACUACUUCACCUCAUUGUCUUCACUUAUUCACAGCAUAUUCCAUCUAAACAAGAAGAAUUAUGGCUGAACAAUACAAAACCCUAAAUUACCAAUUCUCCAAAAAUCAUCACAACUACUUGCAUAGCUAUCAAUCAACCACAAAUAUGAAUUGUAUAGCAACUUAAGCAAGAAUAAAGGAACUAAAGAUGAUGGACAGCCAAUAUACCUCAAUCAAAGAGCUUGAAGAGUUAUUCUUCACCUUUCCUUAUGAAAGUUAGCUCCCUAAGCUUCCCAAGCUCUCAAUUUGCAAGUUAAUCGGUUUAGUUUUCUUGUUUUCUAACUCAAUCAAGCAAAAUCCAAGGUGGAAUUGAAGUUCUUUCUCUCCUUUUUUUCUCUCCUAGGUUCGGCCACAAGGAUGAAAAAAUGAAGAAGAAUGAAGGCUAAGGAAGGUUAUAAGGCUUGGUCAUAGCUUGGGUCAAAGGUUCUUGGAUUAGUGCCACUUGUCACCACCAAUUUCCAUCUCAAUUUUUUUCUUUUCCUUUGGUUUAAAUGGUCAAAAAUUUUGGCCAUCUUAAUCAGCUUUAGAGCUGAUAUUUAGGCUCUAAUAACAAUGAGAUUAACUUGAUAAAAAUGGUGGUCAAAUGGUGUGUUCAAUCAGUAGUGAACGGUACCCGUCGGUUCGAGCCGAUUUUUCUUAAAUCGCGUAUACUAGAGUUUUAACUUAUAAUUCACUAACUUAUUAUUAUCACUUCUAAUCACACACUUAAUAUCAUCUAAAACUCACUCUUAAUCACCAAAUUUGAUACACCCUCUGUACCAAAUAGUCACACUACGAAAAGGCGUAAAAACCCUAAUUUGCGCUAACUUGAAAACUGAAAGGAAAAAUCCUUCAUUCUAUGUUCAUUUACACUUAUUGUGGGGUGAUUGGGUAGCAGGGCCAUUAUAAAGUAAUAAUUUCCAAAUAAAAGGGAAUUUUAAGAACAAGAUAAGAGAUUUUACAAGUCCUCACAUUGUAAGCUUCAAUUGAGAUUCAAUUGGUGAAUAGAGCAGAUAGAUGGCAACUUUGCAUGUAAAAUUAGGGUUCUUCUUGCAAAUUCAUAUGGGAAAGAAGGAAAGAAGGAUAGAAAAAGAAAUAAAUAAUUAAAUAAAAGACAAAAAAGGAGCAUUCCCAUAGAUAAGCUGCUACCAAACAUCAGUAAAUAAAUACAUAAAUCUUGAAAGAAAACUCAUUAUCAUUGUAGGAGUUUAUAUAGUAAUUCUCAUUGUCAAUACCUAGUAGAAACCAAACAGGUGGCAAGUUAAAAAUCUCAAACUUUCAAGAAAGAUUUAGUGUCACAUCAUAGUAAUAUUCUACUAUACUCGGAUGACUAUAAAAAGUACACAUUUCAACUUUUCAUUGGUUUUGGCAUCACAUAAUCAUCGAACCAUUGUCAAAUUGAUGGGGGUUCACUGAGUAGUAAGUUGACCAAAGUGCAUUAGAAUUUUAAAGUGAAAAUUAAGAAAGACUAUGGCACUAGCCCAAGUCAAUUCUAGCCUUUCUUUCUAAUCUCUAUGCCUAUGUCCCACGUGCAUUCUUUUUCUAGUUAAGCUGAAAAAACUUCAAAAUUGCAAAGCAACACUCUUUCUUGGAAUGCAGAUCAAAAGAAAAACAAAAAUUGUUUGAUAGGUAUAUUAGUAAUAUUCCAUUGCAUACCAACUUCCAAGGCAUUUGAAGACAAUAGUAGCCCAACUUUUUACAAUGAGAUUAACGUUGGUGUUAUCCUUGAUAUGGGAUCAUUGACUGGGAAGGCUAUCCACAAAUUCAUUACGAUGGCUGGCUCUGAGUUUUAUGCUUCUCAUAUUCACUAUAGAACAAGGAUAGCCUUGCACAGGAAGAACUCCAGAGUAGAUCCUACGCAUGUAUAUCAACAGGUCAGCUUUGUUCCUUUUAUUUUUUCACACAUUUGCCUAUGAUACACUGAAUAUGACGCAAAGUCCACCUUAGAAAAAGUUUUGUACCAAGCAAGCUAAACAAUCCAAAAGAAAAGAAAAGAAAAAUGACUUAUUUUAAAUGAUGGUGGAAUGUCAAAAGGUCUCAGUGACGUGCGCGGGAUAUACGUAUACAAUUAGCUCAUCCACAAUCAAGUUUUAUAUUUAUAAUUCCUAAAUAUCCCAUAUGCAAUUUAUCGCAAGUAUAUGAUUCGUGAGUGAGUAUAGGGUAUUAAGGGUCGAUCCCACAGGAAAGAUUGCAAUUACCGGUGAUUUCAAAUUCAUUUAUUAUUUAGACUAUAAGCAUGAAGUAAAAGUAAUAAAAUUAACACUAAAAAGCUCCUAAAGGUAUGAAAUUCCUUACUACUCUUGCAAAUGAAGUUACCGGUUAAGUGAAUGCUAUUAUCUUGGCUAGUUAUGGCGUAAUUUCCUAAUGUAUGUGAAACCUACUCUCGCAGUGAAUCAACUAUACUUGUAGCUAAGUCAUACUUACUCUCGUGGUUAUGAAUUAACUACAAGCUCAUUCUUUCUAUGAAAUUACAUGAAACAAGUCACUUAAGCCACAUAGGUGCACCUUUACUCUCGUGAGUGUACUCUCUAGGUUUAUCACUUCCUUGAACUAGUAUUAAAUUCCAAUUCUCAUUGCAAACUUAACACCUUUAGAUAAUCAUAACUAAUGGCCGGUUAAUCAUGAUUAGAAAAGCAAAAGUGAUAAAUAAUUUUCUCAAAAUAAUAUCAUCAAAUAACUAAGUAAAUAUCACUAACAAGAUAUAGAAAAUUCAUCCAUAAUUCUAGGCAUAAACUUUAACUAAACAUGAAAAUAAGAUCCAAACUUGUAUUAUAGUUAAACAUGAAAUCAAAUACAAAAGAGAAAGUGAUAGGAGAGAUGUCACCCUUGUCACAUGAACUUCAAACUCUCCAUCUUUGCUCCUCAAUCUUCAUCCAAAUUUAACUACAAAUACAAAAUGGAUAAACUACACUAACUACUCUAUACUAUCCUAACUAAUGAACUAAGGAAAUUCUAGUGAAGACUACAUUUUUGGUAAGUUUCUCUAGCCUUCCAAAAUUUUUUAAAAUGUCUUCCAAAGGCUGCUAUUUAUAAAAGAUUCAAGAGCCAAAUGAGUUGUUUCUAGUUGUCAUUUUUGACUCUUGAAACACUCAUGAGUUGUCUUUCCAACUUUUCAACCUUUUCUUGAUCAGAUACAACCGGAAUUGAUAGUUGGAAUUGAGCUAGAAAAGUUGUGUGAAAGCAAGGCAAGUUGAUAAGCAAGUUCCAGAAAUCAGGGGAUAAUACGCAACUUGAGAAUAUGCGACUCAAGCCACGUAUUCAUGAAGUCAUGUUUUCAGUUCUGUGCCUCUUCAACUGCUAUUUUCAUGAUGAUGGAGGCCGAAAUAGCUCUUGUACAAAACAUGAACAUUGUAACUCUUUGAGCUAGCUUUCCAAUACCUUAAGAAUCAUCUAAUUUGGAGCUUUUUAGACUGAUAUAUGACCAAAAUACCAAGGACUAGUCAGAGCUCUGUUUCAGCUUUCAACAACAGAGUUUACGCUUCUGUAUUUUGACUUUUUGACAAGGAAAAAAACUGCAAUAGACUUUGAUAUUUUCAUACCAAAUGUAGAUUUGUUUCUUAGCUUCAAAAUGGUUCAAGAAUCACCUCAAUCCAAUGCUUGUAGCUCAAGAUAUAGCCAAAAUACCACAAGGUGUCAAAGCUGUCUUCCAUUGCAUUUCUUCCUUUGAAUGUUUUGCACUUCAUGUCUUCUCUAAACCUCUUCAAAUCAUCAAUAAUCAUCCAAUUCUCUUCUCCAAUCAUUCCAUUAUAUGUUUGAAUCAUUAAACCUACAAAACAUGAAGUUUUUACCAUUAAAAUCCAUAGAAAUGCAAUUUUUCACAUUUAAACCACAAAAUGCAUAUUUUCACUAAAAUCCUAGUUCAUUAGCUAUAAAAGUAACUAAAACACACCAAAACUAAAUAAUAAAACACACUAAAAACACGUAAAAUAUAUACUUGUCACUCAGCAUAAGUUAGUCUUUUUAUAGAGAUAGAGAAUCCCAAGUCUAUUUUUGCUUGAAGGUAGACUAUGGGCAUGCCCCUUCUCUUGUGCACUUUGGUCUGCAUAUUUUUAACAAAGAAAUGUCUAUUAAUAUUUAACCCAUGUGUCAAGGUGAUCCCUACUAUUUCAACUAUGAAAUUUGGUGCUCAAAGUUUCUAAUUUUGUAUAAACUAUGAAUUUCUGAUGAAAUUUCAAUAAUUCUAAUUAAUAAGCGAUGUUGUCAAAGCAAUACUCUUCCUGCUAGAGCAUCUUUUUUCUUCAAAUGUCAAGAUUACUCUCAAUCAAUUAAUUCCAUAUAUGUUAUUGAUUUUUCUUAGGCCCAUUAUGUAUUAAUUGCUUCUCUUUUCUCUCUCUAAUUAAGUAAUUUUGUUAGUAUAAAUUGGAGUUUUGGUCCCCAAUCUAUAAUCCAUGCACAAAUCGAGUCCCCAAUCUAUUUGUAAAAGCAAAUGUGGUCCCCAACCUAUCCAAUUUUGUGCGAAAUUGGGCAAUUGAUAGAUUUCGUUCAAUUUCCUAACUGAAUAAUGGCACAUGCAAUUAUGUGACUUCACUUAAUAGCUUUUGCUCCUUUUUUUAGUCAAAAAAUCAGUCCAAACUUAACUAUUUUGUUUGCUUUUGACCUCUUGCUAAUUAAACACACUAAAAUACACUUAUAUUUGAAAAAAAAAGAUUAGUUGAUAAACCCAAAAAAAUGAGAAUAGAGCACCAUUGUAGCCAAACUCUCCCUCAAGGAAAAACCCCUACCCUAUGACUGAAGCAAAAAAACCCAAUACUUCUUCAUAAAAAUGGGUUCCUUGUUCCUUGUUUCUUUUAAUCUAGCAUUUGUAGGGGUUAUGGUUUUCUAUUUCUUAAUAAGGGUAAAAAAUUUGUACCCGUUGCAGAAAGAAUUCAACUCAGGGGUCUAGAAAAAUUUUGAUGGUAUAGUAACCAGCAAUAAUGAUUACAUCGUGGACAACUAACAACUCAGGGGAAAGGUACUUCUCUUGUGGCUUCAAGGUAUGGAUUAUUUCUCUGUUCUUUUGGUUAUGAAGGUUAAUUUUGUAUCUAGCGUCCCUUUAAUUUUCUUUGUUUUGUUGAUUGAAAAGAGUGGCAGAGGUAAUGGUAAAGGCUACAACCUUUUUGAGUGGCAUGAUUCAAUCAUGUGCUAAAGAUCUAUUGCCCUAAUUCCGGGUCUACUAAGAAGCAUGAACAAUAAGGACAUAUCCAUUGAAAGGCCGAGAGCAAGGGAACAAAAAUUGGUGUUUGCAAUUGUGGUAUUUUCCCUAUUGUUACUGAUUAUUUUGCUGGUGUAGAGACAUAGUGAGGUAUGAAGGAAGAAAGAAAGAAGAAAUGUUGGCCAAGUUAUUGAUGUACUGUUGUAUGGUAGUAGGCUAAGUUAUGGUUGAUAAAUGAAUUCAUUCACAAUUUUGAGUUUUUAUUUGAGGUGGAUGAAUGUGCAUGAUGUCCCUAUUUGUAUAAUGUAAUAGAAAGACAUUGUGAGGUAUGAAGGAAGAAAGAAAGAAGAAAUGUUGGCCAAGUUAUUGAUGUAUUGUUGUAUGGUAGUAGGCUAAGUUAUGGUCGAUAAAUGGAUUCAUUCACAAUUUUGAGUUCUUAUUUGAUGUGGAUGAAUGUGUAUGAUGUCCCUGUUGUAUAAUGUAAUAGAAGGCUGACAUGUUUUGUACUUAUUAAUGAAUGUGAGAAUAUAUUCUGAUAUAGAAAUCACUUUAAGUUGGUUGAUUUUCUUCAGUGAAAUCAGUGUUAAUAAUUUGUUUUUGUUGUUAUCAACAUCAAAUUGCAAUGGUCAAGACUUGUCGGAACAAAUGCUAGAGCAGAACACUAGCAAACUGAACUAAUUGUCCAAUUCAAAUAAACUUCGAUAGAGCAAACUAAUGUAUUGAUGCGAAGAAUUCAUUAUAAAUCAAACAUGUACAUUGAUUUCCAGAAUCCAUUACCCUUCGUAGUCAAAUAAUAUACCAGUUCUACCCAAAUUUACAAGCUUUAAAAAAUGAAACAAUCCUACCCAGAUUAUUUGUUCCAGCACUACAAUAUCAAAACACAAUUAUCAGGGACAAAAAGGUUUCAAUGGCCAAACAUUUGUUCCAACACUACAAUAGUUAACAUUAGAGUGUUUCAUGAAUGUGUCUUUCAGCUGCAACCACUAGUACUUGGAAGUAGGCCGGUCAAUCGGGCCUAAUGAGCCGGGCUUUCAUAAGAUCAAACUCAGCUCAUUUAAUUUGGAACAUUUUCGGGUUUCGGGCUAUGAGUUUCGGGUUCAUAAAUGUGAAGUUCAUGCUCAACUCACAUAAUAUUCGGGUUGUGAGCCUUAAUCGGGCUUAAUCCAAGCUUACUUAUUACUCCUUAAUUUUCUUCAUAUAAUUACUAUAACUAUUAAGUUGUAAACCUAAUUUAACAUUUACAAAACUACAAUAUUAAAACUAAACAUGAACAAAUAAUAGUUCUUAACAAGUAUAUAAACCAAAACUUUUUCAACAAUAUUUAUAUUUAAUUCAUUCAAAAUGCAUGAAAAAUAGUAAUAAAACAUGCGAUCAUAAACCAAUACAUCUUUAAAAGUUGAAACUUUUUUUAUAAUCGUGUGAUUUGAAUCCAAACAUGCUUGAUGAUUUGUGUUUGUAAAUCAAAAAGAAAUCAACCAAUAUUAUGCCAACACAAAAAUUUAUUCAACCAAUAAGAAAAGUUUAGAGAUUCAGUUAUGCAUCACUAAUAUUGGCUCUCAAGAAAGCUCAUGGAAGAGUCUUUAGAUGUAUUUUUAUAUUUUGUAAUAUAUAUAUAUUUAGUAUUUAAUAGUAAUAUAUUUGGAUAUAUAAUUAUACAUAAUAUCAAAAUAUAAAUAUUAUAUAUAUAUUGUAGACACCAAAUUUUUGGUGUUUUAUUAUUUAUUUAUUUAUUUACUAUUCGUUUUUAUUUGUUCUAUUUUUAAUUGUCACAUUUAGUUUAUUUACUUUUAGUUUUAGUCAUUUUAGCCAUUUUAGCUAGAAUUUCUCAAAGGAAAAAGAAAAGUGUUCCAAAAAAAUAUGUUUUAUGUCUUUUAAAAUCAAUCUUUUAGCAUCUUACUUAUUUUUGUUAAGUUAUUUUGAAAAAAAAAAAGAAAAAAAAAAAAGGGGCUUCGUGACAUGCAAGCUGCGUAUUUGCGCAGCUUGCAAGAAAGGGCUCGGGCAGCCCUUUGGCUGCAAUUUUUAGAGGAAGAGGGCUGGUUUUCCAGGUGGCCAGACACCUGGCUAAUGGAGGAAGCUUCUAUGCAAGGUGUAGGGAUUAAAAUGAAAAGAAAGAGAAGCAGCAAAGGGGGGCCGUAGGAUGAAGGGUUUGGUGGAAGGGGUUUGGCAUUUUUUACGGCAGCCGCAAGAGAGAAGGGACUCACGGCUAGGCCUGAGGAGCGAUAGAAAGUGAAAAAAAAGAGGAAAAACUAGCUACGGGAGUGAAGGAGAGGGAGCCGAGAGCGAACAAGAGCAAGAGUGAGGGAUCAUCGGGGAGGUUGAGAAGGCAACAAAAGAAAGAAAAAAGAGAGAGCUUUGACGGUUGGAGGCUGAGACGAAAGAAACGAGGGAGAACUAGAGAGAGGCGGCUGGAAAAAGGGGAGAGUUUCGUGAGGCAAGGGAGCUUCGUCUGGGGGGCGGCGCAGCAAGGAGGAGGAAGAACGGAAGGGAAAGCAAAACCCAAACAGAAAAGGGAGAGGAUACGGCUGAAAGAGAAAAGGAGCAGCAACCAAAGCAGAGAGGAGGAGGGAUUGCCGGAACUUUCUUCAUCGGCUGUCUUUGUUCUUUCACAGACUACACUAGCUUCUAUCCGUCUUUCAAGGUAUAUUUCCAAGCUAUCCAUCAAAGCUAUGUUUUAGAUUUUUACCUGAAGUCAGGAUUGCUUUUCUUGCUUCCGUUGUCAAGGAUUUUAUGGGAAAGGCUAGAUUUUUUCCGUUGAUCAAAACCUCUUAGCAGCAAUCUUGAUAAAAAUUUGAUCUUUCGGGCUACUAAACCAUUUUUAUGUGAAUGUAUUGUUCAGAAUUUCUCUGUUGCAAUCAGUUCUUUCAUUGUUGUUUGUUUAUUUGGAACUUUAAAGAUAAGCAGCUUGUUGUUUGGUUACCCGAAUCUGGUUUGCUUGAUGAAAUGGAAAGCCGCGGCUGGGUAAAAUUGCAGAAAAACUGGCGGCACUUUGUUUCUCUCUUCCUAUCGUUGUUUUUGCUGUUUACUUUCAUGUUUUGUUGGUUAGUUUCAUUUUUCUGUUUUCGAUCCUGCUACAAAGUUGCGUGUUUAGUUGAUGAUGGAUAGGUAGAAUUCUGGUUCCUUGUUGGAUCUGUUUGCAUGAUAAACUAGAAAUUCUGGACACAAGUCGCGGCUGAAAAUUGCAGCAAAGCUUCUGAUUUUCCAGAUUUGCGUGAUAGCUUUCUUGAGUUUUUUGUUUCCUUGUUUGGGCUUGCGGUUUGGCUAGCUGUUGUUUAAUCUAAAGCCUUUGAUGCUUGGUUAAAAAUCCUGAUUCAUUAUGGGUUGCCGAAAGCUUCCUAGCUUUGCAGAAAUUCUUGCGGCAUGCUGUCUUGUUGUUUUUCUUUAUCUUGGGCGGUCAUCAACUCAGAUUUGCCAUCUUAAUCCUGCAAACAAAAUUUCAUGUUUUGAUUUGGGUCAAUAAUUUCUGGUUUGAUGAACUUGUUUGUAUGAUGAAAUGGAUGUAAUUGUUGCUGGAAUUUGCUGCAAGUUUGAGAAAAGGCAACAGGUUUUUGUAGUUGCAGAAAAUUCUGUUUCUUACGUAGCUGCAUUUUGUUUCUCAUGUCCGUGGUUUUCUGGGUUCUAUAACAGCUUGGAAGUCAAGUCUUCCUCCUAUUAAAACCUUUUGUUUCGGCCGCAUGCAGUUGCUGAAGCUCCCAAAGCUUCAGCUGGCUACUGAAAGCCUUCUCUUUUGCUGCAGAAAUGUUUCAUACGCCUUGCAGGAAGUUGUUUGGACUGUCCAAAAUUGCAUGCUGUCUUGCUAAGUUUUCUGUUUAUUCGAGUGAAGUUGGUUGCUUAGUUUGAAUUGAUGAUGUUGGUUUGGAAACAUCUAAUCAAAGCUGUGAUAAAAAUCUGAAUUGGUAAGACAGUUGCAGCAAGCUUCAUUCGUUGUUGCUAAAAGUCUUUUUGUUGCUGGAAUGAUUUUCAGUUUGUUGUACCAGAUUUGCAUAGAAAUCAUCUUCGUUUUGGCUCUUGCAUGUAUGAUGAGUUUGGUAGGAACUUGAAGUUGGAUUUUGGUUUGAGAGUUUUGUUUUGUUUUCUUAGAAAAUCUGUCAUGCAAAGUUGUGAAGGCUUCAAAGCCUAAGAAAAUAUUUGCAGAAUGCUCUUUCACGUUGGUUUGCAUGCAUUUGCAUGAAUAAUUUCCAGAAAAUUUGCACUCUGACCCCCCAAGUCCCCUUUGUUUCACUAUGACCCAACCAAUUGAAUAAUUUCCUCAAUUUGGUCCUUGACAAUUUUAAUUCUACAACUUCAUUGCUUGUUUGUUUUAAUUAAUUACCAUGCUUUGUUUCAGUUGCAUUUAAUUCAUGACUUUAGGGGCUUUAUGACCAAGUGAGCUUGUGUUUGCCUAUUUUCUUUAAUUUUCCCAAAUAAAUUGGUACCUUGACCAUUUCUUUUAUUUUGGAGGAUAAAUGAGUGAUUUCACUUCAUUGGGGCCCAAUUGCAAGGGAGGUAACCUCUAUCUCCUUGAUUUUCAUUUCUCCUAUGUGAUCCAACGUGCUAAGUGUGAAUUGCAUGUCUACGUUGCUUUCCUUGCCUUUCUUUAAUUCCUUUCAUUUAUUUCAUUUACUUUUGCCUUUUAUUUAAGUAUUUCAUUAUGGGGUAUGUGUACACCUCUUGGCUUGUAAUAGAUAGGGCUUGGAUGAGCAUUCGAUGAAGACCUGUUGAAGACAUGUGCCUAGCUAGCAAAUGUAAUAGUUAGGGCUUCAAUUGCUUUAUGUGUCUUGCAUGCUUAGUUGCUAUGUGUUAAUUUGCUUUAUUAGGUUCUUGCAUCUAGUCGAGCAUGCUAAUUGUUAUGUGCUAUGUGUUUAUGGGUGUUUGGCAUGUCUAAUCGCUUUCCAUAGCCAUGAAUGAAUGUGAUGGAUGAAUGUACGUCACCACACUAGUCCAAUGCUAGUUGUGGCUCAUUAUUUCAUUAGGAAUUCAUAGAAACGGCUAGACCCAAUAGGCCAUCCCCUUUUGUUAGUGCAUAUUUGCAUGUUCACUACAUGUCAUGCAUUUUUCUUAGUUUUAUCAUUGGCAUGCUCCUCGAACCCCUUUUUUCCCUCAUUUUUAGGUUUUGCAUCUCAUACUAGUUAUAGGGCUCAUUUGCUUGAGAGUCCCCUUUCGAUAAGGGAAACGAGCGAGUGUGGCUACUCGAUAGCCUUAGCACGCUAGUUUUGCCUUCUAAUCAAAGGGAAUAUUAAGUCACAAAGUUAGGACUCCCCGUUCCCGUCUUGAUGCAUUCCUAUAGGAUUCAUGCAUUCUAUUCAUUCACUAUCACAUACACUUACUUUAUAUUCUAACCCUUUUUCCACAUUCUCACUUCACACUACUUUCACACUACUUUCUACAUUCUCUCUUCACACAUACACCUUAUGGCAUUUUUCACCUUAUUAUUCUUUACUUACUUUACCUUGCAAAGACAUUUGCACACCUCCACUUAUAUCUUAUUACUUUUAUCAUUUUUCUCACUUCACACAAACUCACACUUUCACAUGGCAUGCAUUCCACUCAUUUUACGUCAUUUAGGAUUACGUGUGACUUCUCCAAAGGAUCAUUAUUGGGCUUCACAAUUAAUGUGAUUGGCACCGCUCAACCUUUGAAGAGAAAUUUCCCCCAUGUCCCCCUAGGUCUAGGUUUUUGCAUUCAUAUAGACAUAUCCAACACGCGAUACAUACCUUGGGUAGAAAAAUUAGGAAAAAUUGGUUUAAGUCACGCAACUAGCCUUGGCUAGGUCGAAGGGGUGCCUUGGAUUUUUAUCCUUGCCUUCCCCUUCGUCAAAUGUGACCCCCGAUCCCUCUUUUUGGUUACGUAGACCCAAAAGUUCUUUAAAAGGGUUUAUUUACUUUUUUAUUCAAAAACAAAAAACCAUUUUUUGGGUGACUUGGUACACCCUAACCCUAUACCAAGUGGCGACUCCAUUUUUUAUACAAAAAACCCUUUUUGAACUUUAUAUGGCCAAACCGUCGCAUUAUCAAGUCCCAUGGCCUUUUACUUUUCAUUUACACACGUUCACAUUCCAUUACACCACUCACAUCUCACACCACACACACACCACACUCAUCAUAUCAAAAAGUGGGGCGCGACAUAUAUAGAUAAUUAAAUGGUCGGGCCUAUAUCGGGUUUGAGCCUAAUAGGGCCCAAGCUCGAAUCAUAUUUAAUUCGGGCUUAAUUUUUAGGCUCAAAUUCAGAUCGGCUCACUAAAAUGUCGGGCUCAUCGGAUUUUUUGUCCGGCCGAACGAGCCGAGCUUGGGUUGGCCCUACCCCAUUGAUAGUCCUACUUGGAAGUCUAAGAUGGACAUGAAUAUCUCUAAUAUGAAAAAGAACAUCAGUUGAUGGAGGUGACUGGCUACUAUGUGCCAUAUUAGCAUGCUGAAGACCAAAAAUCUCUCUCAAAUUUGGUUCAGCAAAAGGUGCAGAGGAUAUUAUGUUAUCCUGAAUAUCAAUAGGAGCAUUUUGGGAGGAGUUUGCUCUCCUUUCAUGUCUUCUCUUGUCAUUUCCCUAUAAGAACUAAUAAUAGUUUAGUAUGUAACAACGUAAUGUAAGUGUAGCAAAUAAUUCACAAAAUAAGUAAGAAUAAUUAUUGAACAAACAACUACUGUCUUGGUUGAUUUUCUGGCAAUUUUCUUUGAAUUUGAACUAAUGGCUAUGGCCUAAAAUUACAAAUAUCAGCCAUAAGCAUUACUAGAAAUACACAAUUAUGAAUUGGUAAUAUACUGACAGUUCUCAAUUAGGCUAGCAACACCCACUUGUGACUACACUCCGUUAAAAUCUACAUCAAAUAGUCCACCUAAAAUUUGCAAAAGACUUGCAUCCUAACUUGGUUGAGUGCCUUGGAUGAUUCCCUUUUGCGUGUCACUCAUAAUUGUCCACUCAUAGUCACUUUCAAUCUACAAAUCCUCUCUUAACAGUGGUAGAAACCAAAUCCAAGAAUCAUUGAUUUCUCCCACUGUGGCUGCAUAAGCAAUUGGAUAUAAUCCAUUAUUAGAAUCAACUCUAACUACUGUUAGGAGUAAACCACCAGGUGGACCCUUUAGAAAGGUUCCAUUUAAACCAAACAAAGGCCUACAAGUCUUUAAGACUCCCUAUUUCACCCCUGCCUAACACAUAUACAAUCUUUGAAAUUAUUCUUGCUUUGUGACUACAUCAUGACAGUCAUUUACCAUCUUCAUGAUAACAGUGUGGACUCGAUAGCUUCUGUUAAUUUCAUUGAUAUACCUAGGCAAUUUGUUGUACUGGUCCAUCUCACUACCAUUGGCUAUGUGACUUGCAAUUUUCUUUACUCUAUACUGUUGAUGCCUACUCAAAUGACACUUAUUCUCCUUCAUUACUAGAUUUUUGAAACUUGGAUAAUCUAGCAUGGGGUUCUCUCUAAAUGUUUCAGCAUGUCUUCUUCCUAAUCACUCAAAUUUAACACUUUCGUUGUGAUAUGAAAAAUCACACCUAUGUAUUCCUUGGAAUGUUCUAAUUUCUAAAGUACCUAUUCCUUUCAUCUUCCUAGCAUAUAUGCACCAAUCACAACCCUUAAUAGGGCAUUUAAAUCUAACUCUAAUCGUGUCACUCUUUAUGAAUUUCCAUGUCACUCUAAAGGUUUAUUUAAGCUAAAGUUUUGAAUUAUUCAUAUCCUUAGGAUCAAACAUAGGGGGUCUACUAUACUCUUCCUUAUUUAACCCUUGCAGGCUUUUUACAUCAAAACCUGAAUCUAAUAUUAUAUCUAUUUCGGAAUUGUCAACAUCAAAAUUAGAAUCACCAGCCCCUUUUCUCCUAUUCUGUUAUUUUGCUUUCUAUUUUUCAGCUCUAUUCGACUUGCUCCUCUCUAAUUUUGUCCCUCUCCAUCCAUUCUAAAUUUUGAUCAACAUUUUCUUCAUAGUCAUCAUCAUCAGAGUUUUGAUCAUAAUCAGAGUCUUUUUCUAAAACUCUCCACUGUCACUACUUGAACCACCUUUAUAGUCAUCAUUAGAUUCAUCAUCUUCCUCUUCUAGAACAAAGUCGUCAUCAUCCAUAACAGAACCCCACUAUAAGUCUAUUAGUUUCAUAAAGCAAACCUCUAUGCAUAGAUCAAUUAACCUACCAUAAUAAAAAUGGUCUUCACAAUAGGCAUGCAAUUCUCUAUCAUAUUGAAGCAAUCAAAACCCACACUCUUCUGUCAAAAUAUGGUACUUUUUUUCACUAUAAGCCCCAAUUUGACUUUCCAACAUCCUAUCCAUCUCAAAUAGACUAAUUCCUAUAACUUCUAUGUGGCCAAAUACCUUGACUUCACCUCGCUCAUAAUGAACACCAGGUUCUCCUUCACACUUACCCCACAGAUGAUACCUUUUAGUAAUUUCUAUGUAGUCACUUUUUGAGAUGCAGUAAAAAAUAAAGCACAAAACAAGAAAACAUGGAAGAAUCCAAAUCAAAAGAUAUAAUUAAUUGCAAUCAAUUAACUAAAUCUUUAUCAAAUAUUAUCUUUAUCAUACAAAACUGAGACAAUGAUAAAAACUACACUUAAGUAUGUCCACCUGCAAGAAAGAGAGGCAAAGAGGACGACAUCAGAUUUUUGAAUAUUUAUAUGUAGAAUUUUUUAAAGGUUAUGCCCAUAAUUGAGACAACUUUUAUGCCUUCCAACGUACAAACAUCAUCUUUUUAACUAUAAUAUAAUAAUAAAAUCAGUAUUUACACAUUAUUAAAAGAGGAUUAAGUUAAAAGUUGUACCAUAGUUCGGAGAAAGGGCCCUGUUCAAUUCUUUAGGCCUCAUUGAUAUUUCUCCUUUGCAGCUCCACUCGGCCAACAACCUCAACAAGAUCUUCAAGGGUUUUUUGUUUGAUUUGCAUCAAUAUCCUCUCUAUUUGGAUCAUUGGAUUUCUCUCUUAUUUGUGAGGAAAGUGAUAGUUUCUCAUUUUCCCUCUUUUUCUUUAGUGUGUUUAAUUAGCAAGAGGUAAAUAGCUAACAAAAUAGUUAAGUUUUGGACUAGUUUUCCAAUUAAUAAAGGAGAAAAAGCUAUUUUGUGAAGUCACAUGACUGCACAUGCCAUGAUUCAAUUAGGAAAUUGAACAAAUCUAUCAAUUGCACAAUUGUACACAAAUUUGGAUAGAUUGUGGGCUGCAUUUGCUUUUACAAAUAGACUAGCUACUCGAUUCGCGCAUGGAUCAUAGACUGAGGGCCAAAACUCCAAUUUGUCCAUUUUGUUAGGGUCUCUCACUAUCCACCCUAUUAUUCCCACCUUUGCUCUUUCUCUCACAUACAUUAAUUGAUUUAUUAUUUUUAUUGUUAACUAACUUUUUCUACCUUAAUAUUUUCUUAUAUAUUAAUUCUUGUCUCAACUCAUUCUUGCAUUUUUACUCAAUUCAUGGACUUUUAUUUAAAAAAGAUUUUUUUGGCAAAUACAAUGUGAUUUAGUUCCAACAAAUUUUGGUUUAAAUUAAUUACAAUUACGAUGUCAUUGUAACUCAAUGCUUUAGUAUAUUUAAAAAUUCUUUUAACAUCCAACAUACUUUUUCCUUUGAAUUCUAUUUAUUUAUCAUGCCUUUGAGCGGUUCAUACAGUAAAAAGUUUUAUCAACUUUUCCUCUUUUAUACUUGUCAUGUAAGUCUUGAUUUCAAUCAAGUAUUCAUAUUUGUCUUGUACGUUUUAACAUCUAUUAGGUAUUCAUAUUUUCUAAUACUUAUGAAGUUUAAUUUACUUUAUAUUGUAAUGAAUAUUAAAGAUGAAGCAACACCUUUUUUAGAUUAUUUUGAUAUUAAAGUAUUUUUUAGUUGAAUUAUGUUGUAUUUGAAAAAAAAAUAACAUUUUUAAGUAGCACUUUGAAAUAAAAAAAUAUAGGAGCAUGUUGAAGCAAAAGAAUUAGUAUAUGAAAAUAAUAUUAAAACCAAAACCAAGUUACUAAAUCAUGAAAUAAUUGAUGAAUUAAUGUGUGAGAGAGGAGGAGAGAGAGAGAGAGAGAGAGUAAAAGAGUAGAAAAAUUAAUUGAAGAGAGAAAAAGAGGAGUAAUUAGUAUGUGAGAACCCUCAUUUUUAAAAUACAAUUUCCCCAAACUACAUGCCUUGCACCAAGAUUUAAACCACCUCUUAUAUGCCCUAGCAUUAUAUUUUACAAUGUGUUACAACAAAUCCCUUGUAUUGACCCUCACUUAAAACACAAUUUUCUUAUUCACAUGCCUUAUUAUAAGAUCUAGACUAUUUAAUAUAUGCCCUUACAAAUUAUUUUCUAUGUGUUAUAAUAAUUUCCAUGCAUUUCAUUUCAAUUCAUUUUACUUGAAGUAAAAUAUUUCCUUGAGCUAGCUUGUAACUAAUUCACCACUUGUGAUUGUCCAAGUGUUCUUUUAUUAGUGGUUGGAACUUUACAUGUAGGAUUAGAGGUGUUAAAUAUGUAUUGGUACAUUUGGAAAGGUUAGUAUGUCAUUAGUCAAAGAUUGAGAAAGGAUUGGACAAGGAUGGAGCCAAGUGGCAAAACCCUAGUCAUGGAUCUUGUUUAACCAAGGGAUUAGGAAGAAUUUAAACCAAAAUUGGCCCUUUUAUUUCCUCCUUGUGGCUGACUUUCAUGAAGCUUAGAGAGGAAGAGAGAAACUCCAUUUUCCUUGCUUUCUAACCCUAGUAAAUCAAGAGCAAAAAUCAAAAGGGAAAGAUCUUGAGUGGAUUGAGAAACUUCCCUUUCAUUCCUAGUGGUUGAUCCAAGCUUGAAGUUUCCAUCUUGGUGGAUUGUUUGGUGACCUAAGCAACUUGUAGGAGAGGUAAAUGACCUUUAAAUUUGGGGGUUAUAAUGUUAUAUCAUCUACUUUAAGUUUUCAUGGUGAAAUACUAGUGGUUUUGGUUGAGAUUUGGGGUUAAUUCCUUGAAUUAAACAAGUAGUAGUUAAGCUUGUUAGUAUGCCUACCAAGUGUUUGAUGAAAUGCCUAGCCCUUGUUCAUGUGUGUGUAUGAGGUAUUAACAUGUUUUUGAACCCCUUUUUAGUAGAUCUAAUACUCGUUAUGUGAUUGGAGUACAAACCAUGAAAGGUUGAAAGUUAGAAAAGUUGGGGAGAGGCUGUCCGAAAAUUUCAAGGGCUUGCUGCCCUGUUUUGCUUUGAUAAUUUCGUGCUUAAUUUGGCUACAAGUGUGAGGGAUAUAUGUUGGGUUAUGUGUGUGGAGGUUGUCUACAAAAAAUUAGCCAAUUUGUUUGGAUAAAUCUUGAGUUAUGAGCAACAAGGCAAAACUGGACUAGGUCCAGGAAUUUUCUGACCAGUGAUAUUGUGAAGGUCAUAACGUUUUACUCAAUGAUUGGAAUUGAGUGCCAUUUGUGGCAUUUGAAAGUAGACUCUUAGAGCUUUAAAAUGGUACCAAGCUCAUUUUCUGGUUCAUCCCGAGUGAUUCGUGGCGAGUCUUGAAAGUUGGCUGCCCGGUUGUUACUGUUCAUCCGAGACUGUCCAGAAAAUUCAUUUGGUUGCUUAAUUUUGAACCACUUACGUUUGGAUUUUGGAAAUGGUUUCUACUACACAAAUAUAGCCUUGUGAACCUAGUUUCUAACGGCACCGACAGAACCUAAUUCUGACUUUUCUACAGUGAAUUAUAACCAUUUUCCCGAGACUGCCAGGCAAGACUGUUUAAUCCGAAUAAGGAACUUUCAAGUCUAAAUGAAACAUUUCUUUUGCCAAGCUUUCAUGUACACACUAAACUUAUUUUCUCAUGAACUUUUACCAUGUUAUGGACCUUAUUGCAUGCCGAAUUAAGUAGCCUAGACUACCCACUCGGUUUCUUAAUGAACCUAUAUUUUAGUAAGGAACGAAUCCAAUUGUUAAUGAUUUCACUCGUUGACCUAGGUUUGGGAAACGAAGGCGAUCGUAAUUGAGACGUUUGACGUUGAUUACUACUUUUGCUUGACAGGUGAGUGUUCCACUACCUGCUACCUGUUAUCUGAAUAUUUGAAAUACUUGAUUUAUGACUGUUGGAGCCAAAUACUGUUUUGAUAAAAUGGAGGCGAGCGUGUAUUUUAUCGCACUCGACCUUACUUGUUUUCCAAUGAGGCUCUGUAUACUGUUAUUAUAAGAUGUGAUUUCUCUAUAUAUGACUGUGUUUAACUUGUUUGGGUGAUAUCCCAUCAACUACUGCUACUGUUUAGGUACCCAACCUCUUAGGUGAGUCGGUUGUAUCGAGCCAGUAAGGGCUUGGUCGAAAAGGCCGAUAAACCUUGGAGACUGAUGUUUGGAGGUCCCUGGUGAAGUAUAGUCGUUGUGCUUGCUUGUUGUGUUGCCCAGCACCACCAGUGGUAAAAUCCUCGACUUGAUCCUGUUUCUUUGGAAUCUUGAAUUCCUGGUAUACUCGAGUAUUACCAAACUACUGUUAUGGAGUGCGGGCCCGGUAGGGGGUUGUUUGGUGGAUGGAGACUGGUGAAAGUGGUGUUCUACGGACCCUUUUAUACUGUGCAUACAAGUGUUGACGGAGUGUCAACAAGAGGCAAUUAUGAUCAAGCUCAAGUGAAUCUUUGGCUUUUGAAAGCCACCUGUAUCCUUGAAUUGAACUGUGAUUAAUUGUUAAUCUACUAUACGGUGUUUAUUGGAUUAUUUUGUGACCUUAGGUGACUAUGUGUUUACUUGUUUUACUUGGAACCUCACUGGACUUUAGCUCACCCCAUUCCUUUUGUUUUCCUUAACAGAUCGGGGAUGGAUUGAUCAAGAGCUUUCUUAGCUUUAUUUUGUUUUGAACUUGUAUUUUGAGAUUGUAACCUUUUGUUUAGGGAGACCUUACUUUUGACUUCCGUAAGCUUGAAUCUAUAAGUUCGACUUAUGUUAUGUAAGUUAUGUGGGGAGUGAUAAGUUGACAUUUAAUUAUGUGUAUGCUAAGCUUUCAAAUUGUUGGUGUAGUGUUUAUGUUUAAUUGGGGUUACACUCCCGUGAAUGGAAGAUAUCUCAUUCGCUUCAUUUGAGUUAUUAGUACUUUGAUCGACUGAGUCCCGGCGAGAGUUGGGCAGGUAGUCCGCUGAUACCCUAGGGUUCGCCCUAGGGAGGGGUGGGGCUGUCACAUAGUUCUUAAUGGAGCUAGGAAAAUCAAGGAGAAUAUAUAGAGUUGACUAGUUAAGGAUAAUGAUAUGGAUGAGGAACGAGCAAAAUUAGUUGAAAUGUUUGUUCAUGGAGGGGGUAGAAGACUUCGCAUCGUAAGCCAUAGGCAUGUCUUUUGACUGAACUCAAAAACAUUGUGACCAGAAGACUUGUGUCAGAUAAAAUGCGAGCACGUUAAAAUAGCUGCUUGCUAGUCCACAGAGUUCGAGGAUUUGUAUCGUGAUUUUUAGAAUUUUUGUAAUUUACCCGCUUUAAUUAGUUAUUGUUUGGCUUUAAACUAAGUUAUUUAUUUAGUUGUUUUCUUAGUCAAUAAAAAGGCCAAUGCGUGUUAAAUCUUUGAGUUUAAUGGGCUACUUAUUGAGUCAAGUUUGUUUGAUUAUUAGGUCCGAUCCAUAGAAUUUAGUCUAGAAAUUUGUCUCUUUUAAAUAGUGUUGUAUGGAAUAUGGUUAUUCAGUUGAGUGAUUUUAUGACACUGAACUUUUGAGGUUUUCUACAAGCUAGAGUGGAAACUCUUGUCUUUCAUAUCUUUAUUCACUUUGAGUGUGUUCUUGAGUGAAUUGAAUGUCAUAUCAAUUUGGUAUUCACCCAAGUUGUGGUUGGCCCGCCAAAAUUUCAUUCAAACAUGUCCCCUUAAGAACUAGGGCUUUCCCAUAGGAUUGCAGAUUUUUCUCAUACUAAGGGAAUUUGCAUCAGUUGGCAUUAGAAGUUUGGCUCAAAGUGACAGGUUAUAUCCCUUAUAAUUUCUUGGUUUUCCCUUUAAUCAUUUCUUUUUAAAAAAAUUCAUGAAUUAGAGUUUAGCUGCUUUUAGGGUUUUAAAUCUUCCAUUUGUAUUGUUCUUGUGUGUUUCCUCAUUAUUUCUUGUGUUCUUCAUUGUUGUGAUUGUGUUAAUUUCGUGGCUACCUUUUCUUGUUGAUUUAAAGAAAAAAAAGAGUAUUGUAGCAAUUACUAAAGCAUUGCUAUAGUGACUUUGUAGCACUACUAUAGUGAUUACUGUAGCGUUAUUGCUUCUGUGUUACUAUUCCUGCAUAUUAUUUAUCGCAUUAUUCAUCCCAAACUAUUGUUCAUUCAAAAAAAUUGUGUUUGUUGCUUUAUUCAUGUGAAUCUUAAUCGUAGUUGAAUCUUACAAAUUUUGUGACUAUUUUUGUUUCUUUCAUAAUCCUAAUUGUCGCACACCAUUUUUGAAAAUAAAAGAAAAAAGUGUUAGAAAAUGAGUUUUCGAAUAAAAUUUAAUAUAUAUUUAAAAAAAAUGAGUUUUUGAUUUUAGAAAAUAAAGAAAAAGGACUUAAAAUGGGAUUUUAAAUAAUGUGAUGAUUUGGCCCCAAAAUAUUAGUCUAAAAAGGAAUUUUAGAGUAAGAGAAUCACCACUUGGUAUUGAAUUUAGGUGUAUUAAGUCACCCAAAAUAUAUUUUAAAUGAAAAACAAAUAAAACCCUUUUAGAGGACUCCAAAUCUUUGAAAACGAGAGAAAAGAGUUCGGGAGUCACGGUUGAAGAAAGGAAAGGCAAAAAUUUGAUCGAUUCAAAUCUAAGGCAUCCUUUCAAUCUGGCCAAGACUAGUUGUGAGAUUUAGUCAAAAAUUUUCCUAAUCUAACCUCUAAAACUUAUCACAUUCAGAUACCUCUAUAUGGAUGUAAACCUAGACUUAUGGGAUAUCGAAAGGGACGAAAUGUCAUGUUGGCUGAUUGAAGCCAAUAGUUUAGAUGAAAGGGUGUUGCCCCUUUGUAAGUAAUCCUUGUAGUAUCAAGUGUUAAUAUAUAUAAAAGCUAAUAUCGUUUGUAGAAAAAAAAAACAAGAAUUUUUGGAAAAAUUUUGGUGUCUACACUAAUCAUAUUGAUAUUUCUUGUAUUGGAUUGUUUCCAAAUCGAAUUAGGGAAACAUGGCCUUAUUUUUCCAACAAUCUUUAGAUGUCUAACUCCUAAUCUAAUUAGGAAAUUGAAGUCUAAAAUUCCCAGCAUUAAAUCACCUCCUUCUUUAGAAAAUUUCCAUCAUUAGUUCUUGAAAUUUUCUUGUUGUAUUGCUAUCCAAAUUUCCAACCUUAUUCUUUCACUUUCUAGGCCAUGACUGAGGUGUUUAUUGGUUGGUAUAUUCACUAAAUCCUUGGGGAAUCAAAUCAUGAGUGAAUUCAAGAAAGGCAAUGAAUAAGUGUGAGACCAUAAAAAGUGAGUGUAAACACGGUGCUUGAGGGUAUACACGUGAGGUUGAGCAUGUGAGGUAUUAUUUAUAACCUAUCGUACAGGAAAUCAUGUCUAGCAAGGAAGAUUCAGAUUUCUAUCCAGUAGACUCAAACUUGAUCAUGAAGACUGUGAAAGGAGAGAUGAAGCAAAUGAUGUGGACUAAAAUGGAAUCCAUCCAUGAACGCUUAAAUCGGAUUGAGAUUUCUCAAGAGUAGCUGUCCAAAUGUGAGAGUCACCUCCCAAGCAUGGAAUAACAAGACAUCGGAAUUUAGAGGAGGAAUACGUUGUGACUGAAAAAGAAGAAUCUGAAGUUGAGCUUAAGAGACUACCUAGGAGGAACCAUCGAGAUAAUGAUGCUAUGGUGAAGGAAGUGCAGCUUAAGAUCCCUUCUUUUUAAGGGAAAUUUGACCCUGAAACUUAACUAGAAUAUGAGCAUAGGAUGGAACUUAUUUUUGACUACCAUAACUACAAAAAGAUGCAGAAGUUAAGUUGAAUGUGGUGGAGUUUUUAGACUAUGCAAUUACUUGGUAAGUUGAUUGUGGUGGAGUUUUUAGACUAUGCAAUCACUUGGUAAGUUGAUUGUGGUGGAGUUUUUAGACUAUGCAAUCACUUGGUGUGACUAACUAACUAUCAGUAAAAGAUGGACGGGUGAGCGAUUUGUUAGUACUUGUUAGGAGCUCAAAGCCUUGAUGAGAAAGCGAUUCGUCCCUGCUUAUUACUAUAGAGAUCUCCAUCAGAAUUUUUGAAAUUUGAUGUAAAGUGAUCUAACUAUUGAAGAUUAUCAUGAAGAAAUGGAGAAGGCAAUGAAGAGGACAGAUGUGAUAGAGGAUCCAGAAGUACAAUGGCUCGAUUCUUGAAGGGGUUGAAUCCAGACAUUGCAAAUGUAGUUGAAUUGCAGCACUACAUGGAGUUGGAGGAGAUGGUGCAAAAGGCUAUCAGAAUUGAGAGACAGUUGAAGAGAAAGGGUGGCAACAAACCCAACUCAUUUUUUACACCUUUCACUGCAAGGGGUACACCAAAAAAUGAUAGAGUACCUUCGAAACCUAAGGUGGAAAAGCCUAAGGCCUCCAGCAACACUCUAGUUUCUACUAUUUGAAGUGGCCAUUCCUUUACCUGUACAAAAGUUGCUAGAGGAGUUUGCAACAUCAUUCUAGAUGAUAUUCCACUUGGUUUGCCACCUAUGUGGAGUAUUCAGCAUGCUAUCGAUUUUGUCCCCAAAGCUAGUUUGUCCAACCUAUUGCACUAUAGAAUGAGUCCAAAGAAGAAUGAAGCACUACAACAAAUAGUAGAUGACUUACUUAAGAAGGGAUAAAUUCAAGUGAGCAUGAGUUCAUGUGCAAUCCCUGCCUUGCUGAAUCCAAAGAAAGAUGGCAGUUGAAGGAUGUGUGUCAACAGUAGAACAAUCAACAAAAUCACUGUACGUUACAAAUUCCCCAUCCCGAGGUUAGAAUAUAUGUUGAAUUGCUUGUUGGGAGCCAGGUUCUACUCAAAGAUUAAUCUUUUAGAGUGACUAUCACUAGAUAUGCACCUGAUCGAAAAUGAGUGGAAGACGGCCUUCAAAACCAAGGAGGUCUUUAUGAAUGGCUGAUCAUGCCAUUUUGGUUUUCUAAUGCCCCGAGUACCUUCAUGAGACUGAUGAAUGAGGUACUUAAACCGUUUAUUGGAAAAUUUGUGGUUGUAUAUUUUGAUGUUAUUCUAACAUAUAGUGCUUACAAUGAGGAGCAUUUGGAGCAUCUUCACCAAGUGCUGACUAUGUUGCAGGAGAACAAGCUCUACAUUAAUUUGAAGAAGUGCUACUUCAUGGUGAAGAGCUUUAUCUUUUUAGGCUUUGUUAUCAAUGAAGAUGGGAUACAUGUGGAUGAGGAGAAGGUGACAGCUAUAUGUGAUUGGCCUAUCCCCAAAACUAUCACUAAUAUCAAAAGCUUUUAUGGCCUUGCAACCUUCUACAAGAGAUUCAUUCAAAAUUUCAACACUACUGUAGCUCCUUUGACUAGCUGUUUAAAGAAGGGCAAGUUUUAGCAGGGUUUAGAAUAGGAGAAAAGCUAUAGUGAUGGUAUAUCUCUGGCGUGAGCAAUUCCCAGUUGGUACUUAUGGCAGGUUACAGCCAUGGAAGUAUGGUCCUUACAAGAUCCUACAGUGCAUUAAUCCUAAUGCCUAUGUGGUGGACUUGCCAGAAUCGCUUGGCAUUUCUUGAACUUUCAAUGUUAUUGAUUUGACCUUAAAUUAUUCAUCGAACAUGCCCUUAUAUCCAGAUGUGCCCAUUCACUCAAGGGCGAGUUACUUUCAUGUGGGGAGACUGAUACGGAGCAGCUUGAAGAUGUAUUUUGGAGUAGGAUGGAUCAUAAAAAUAAAAAAUAAAAAAAAAGUCGCAUGUGAAGCAGAGUUUAGUCGAGUCGGACUCCCAACCUAAUACCCAUCAUAAGACUUGUCAUAUUUUGAUUUUUGUUCAGUUUAUAGAGACUUGCUAAAAUGGGUGCCAAUCAUUAAGCCCGACGUAUGACCCAACAUGACUUGAAGUUGCGUUUUAUUUCCACAUUUUCUUUUAUUUUCUUUUCUUUUAGUUCAUCAAUAUUGUAGCCUAUAAAUAGGCCUAUUUCUUGUUUGCAAACGAAUAUCCAGUGUUGAAGAGGAAUUCGAUGUAUUUUCUUGAUGAUUAUCCUGAGAAGCUUUAUGCUUUCAAUUGUCCAUAUGGUGGUCAUGAUUCGGGUAUCUAUGACUUGGAAGAUAGCAGCAUUACCCGUUUUUCUCCAUUAGGAAAACCCAGCAAGAUUUAUCAACAAACGUUUUGAAUUAAAACUCUUAGCCUUUAGUUCUGACAACUUACUAAGUUUUCUUGAGCCAGGCAAUGGUUUUAUAUUAUUCAAUUUGUGACGACCCCACUUCUCCCAAGGGCGAACCCAAGGGUAUCGGCGGGCCGCCUGCCUAGCUCGCGCCAGGACUCAAAACCUAAAGUUCGAAAGAGCACUAAAUACAAUAUAUACAAUCCCAAAAGUUAUAUUCACAUCUUCAAAAGUCUCGAGUCAAACUACUCUAAUAUACUACAAUCACAACCAGCAGAAGAUAGACCAUAAGAAGGGUCCUUAUACAAACCACCAAAACAAAAACAAACAUUCUAACUAUUCAACUAUUACAAGCCAAUCUAACUAUACUAGUAUACGAGCCAAAAGUCCCCGCGUCGGCCCCUGCUAAGGAAAACAAAAGGAAUGGGGUAAGCUAUAUGCUUAGUAAGUAAACAGGGGCGAAAGCAUAAAUUUCACGUAACAGUUACACAAUAAGAGUAAAGCAAAAGCAGAAAAGUAACAUCACAUAAUAAGGAUACAGGUGGCUCCAAAGCCAACUCAUGUGCCAUGCGUGAUCUCCUGCCGACACUCCGUCGACUGCAAAUAAUAGUCCGUAGAACUUCACUUGUACACCCACCGACACCUUAUCACCCUCACUGGCCAGUCACCUCACAAACUUGCCCGGGCGAACGAAAUCACAAACUUGAGCUUGAGUCACAAGCUCGGGUCACAAACUUGGUCACCUUCUCGGUGAACCGGAUUCACAAAAUUGGUUCAUAAAAUGAACCUACAAACUUGGUGACCUCAGACUAAGUUGGACUGCCUUCGACCAAGCCCUAACCGGCUCGAAUAGUCCAACCAGGUCAAGAGUUCGCCCCAAACUCACAAACUUCACAAAAUUAUUCAAAAUCACAAACUUUGCAAACUUCACAAACUUUAUUCGAAAGUCGCCCCGAGCCACAAGCUCAAGGGUUUUGGUUCCAAAAGGUUCAUAUACAUAUGCCAAGUACAAUUAUACAUUCAAAUUAGGGUUUAGGUCGAGUGCGAUAAAGUACACCCUCGCCUAAGUGCCCUUUUCACAUAUCUCAAACACAUAGCAAAGAAAACACACCAAACCGGCCUGAAUACUUACUCAGAAACUGAAAUAGCAAAAGUACGAAGUCGGAUCGAAAUGAACAGCUAGUAGUGGGCCCCACCAGUUCCGCCCAGCUCACCACCGUCUGAAAUAGAAGAUUGUGUCACAUAAUAUCGCAAACGGCUACUAUCGUGCCUAAAACAAGCAAAACGGCAAAAACGGCACGCGCGCACAUAAAUAUGACGAACGGAAACGGAGACGGCCGUUAGCAGAAACGGCAGAUUUGACACUCGUUUCUAGUUUACUCAUAAGUUGAGCUACGAAUAUCGGAUUAAGGCAUAUGUGACGCCAUAUCGAAGCUUAAAGGAUGAACAACAACUGUUAUGAAGACAUCCAGAACUGAAACUGGAGGCUUUAGUCCCAAAUGAACCAAACACAAUCACUUACGGAAUCUGGCAAAUGCACAAAUGGUCAGUUUUGAGUGCAAACUGUUUUCUAUGCUACACAUGGUCAAAAGAGCUGAAAAUUGGCAGUUAGAUAGUUCAUUCCAAAUGGAACAACUUUCAUGAAGGUCGGCAACCCAAAUUCGGAACGGAAAUUGGUCAUCAGGACCAAAACAGAUUUCUGGUCAUUUUCACGGGCAGGCCUUGUUUGCUCGGCUAUAUCUCAGGUUUUAUAAAUCCGAUUCAUGAAAUUCCAAGGGCGUUAGAAAGCUAUGAUAUAGGGCUAUAAGUUUGGUGUUUUGGUCGGAAGUCCAAACAGCUUGUAACUCAGUCAAAUGUGAAGCCAAAGUUCCAGCCAUAAACUUUCCAAAAACGUACCAGAAUCACAAACCGUAUUUGACCUCAAUAUGCGGUAAUGGCACCAAAUUCACUACGGUUAUCGGAUGGGGGUGUAAGACCCACCGUUUCGAAGCUAAGAACCAGGGCUACAACAAUGUAGAAGGUCACUCAGUCCAAAUCCUAGCACAACUAGGUCAAAUAUGCAAAAUACCAAACCAGAAUCGUAAUUGCAGGUUCCCAAAUCACACAAAACUGUAAUCAGUCCAAGUCAGUCUAUACAGGUCCAAAAGCAUUGAUUCCAAAGGCAUAUGAAAGCUAAGACAUCAAGCUACAUUUCAUCAGAAGACACCAACAACAAAAUCCAAAGCAAUUCCAGUCAAAACAGACGAUUACAAUCACAGUUCGCACAUUCUGAUCACCCAGAACAGCAACAGUAAAAACGACAUAUCUCAUUCUACACUACUCCAAAUGACCUGAAAUUUUGUAGGCACCUCUAAAAUUUCAUUCCCUACAACUUUCAUGUUUUGAGAAAAGUCCAAUUCGGCCUCUAUCUAUGACCUAAAAUUUCGGACAGAAUGUAGCUUCAAGAACCCUAAUUUUCCAGAAUUUCUUCCAAACCCAAAAUUGAUUGCAAUUUUCUAUCAUAUGCACCUACUAGAGCCAAAGCCCCUUAUUACCAACCAUCAAAAACAAUCACACCAUCAAGAUCAUAUGAAACCAGAAAAUUCCUCAAAAAAUAAAAAACUCAACCAAAUCACUUCAAACCAAGAAAUAAUCCACAAAUUUCAGCACUCUAAUCACUACUAAUCAUAUCUUAAGCAUUAAUAGGUGUAGGUGGAAGUUUAAGCUUCACUUACCAAGAAACAAGAGAGAGAGAGAUGUUGGCCACCUUAGACCUUCAAACAAACUUCACUACAACACUUACUAGCACUAGAAGAAAGGUUUUUAUGGAGUAGAAUCUAAUCUAGGCUUUUGUUUGUGGGAGAUUGAAGCAAAUGGAGCUUGAAAGUUGAAGAAAUGCACUUCCUUCUUGAGCUAGGGAGAUCCGGCCACCAAGAGAAGAAAAUGGUGAUUUUUGUGCAUUUUUUUUAUAUUUAAUCCUUUGGUCAAAAAAGUCAAGAAAGUGAAUAGUAUUUCUUAAAGUCCAACCAAUGAGAAGGUGACACUUGUCACCUCAUUAAAUGCAUUCAUAUCCUUUCUUUCUUCUCUCACAUCAAUCAUUUCACACACUCUACUUGUCUAUUAACACCCGAUAAAUUUUACACAGUAUCCGGAAUUUAACCUAAUUGGCCGAAUUUUUCCGAACUUUUCGCACUAGUGGGUCCCACGUCCGUUAUAUAUUCUUAAUUUUCUAAAAACUCUCCAAUACUAGGAAAAUCAUUUUAAAACUAUUUUUGCUCAUAAACUUUAUCUGGGGAAUUUUUCUAAUCAAGAAAAUGUAGAAAAGGCGGGCGAUUUUAAAAAAAAUAUAAACCCUAGAAAAUUAGAAAAUUUCCGGGUUCUCAAACUCUUUUUUUUUUUCGGGGCGUCACACAAUUAAAUAUGAUUGCCUUAGAUAUCCAUCCAUUACCUUAUAGACCAUGCAUCUUUACAUGAACUUAAGCUAGUAUCUGGUUUCCAAAUCUUAUUGUUUGUUGGAGAUUUGAUCAAUAAAGUGGGAUCACUCACUUGAUUGUACAGGUUGAAAUUAGAUAAUUGACAUGUAUAUAAGGAUUUGCAACAGUUAAACUUGGGAUUUUCAUGAAGAAAUUGAAGGUGGAUGGAACCAUGGACAAGUUUAAGGCCAAAUUAGCUGGCAAGGGGUUUACUUAAAUAUAUGGCAUUGAUUAUUUGAUACUUACUCACCGGUAGCUAGAAUAGCUACCAUAAGGGUACCACUUGCGAUAGGUUCAAUCCAAAAAUGGGUAAUUCAGCAAAUGGAUGUCAAGACAAUAUUUUUUAAUGGUGAAUUAGAUGAACAAGUGUACAUGAAACAAUCCGAAAGGUUUGUAGUACCUGGGCAAGAGAACAAAGUGUGUAGACUUGUAAAGUCCUUGUACGGAUUAAAACAAUCUCCAAAACAAUGGCACCAAAAAUUUGACCAAGUAAUGCUUGCUAGUGGGUUCAAGAUUAGCGAGUCAGACAAAUGUACAUAUAGCAAGUAUAUGAGUAGUAAAGGAGUCAUUACUAGCUUGUAUGUGGACAAUAGGUUAAUCUUUGGUACUGGCUUUAAACAAGUCUGUGAGACCAAAAAGUUGCUCUCAUGCAAGUUUGACAUAAAGGAUAUAGGGAUGGCUGAUGUUAUCCUAUGAAUAAGAAUUAAGAGAGAGUAAGGUCAAAUUUUGCUUUCACAAUCUCAUUACGAUGAGAAGAUUCUUAGUCAUUUCAAUCAUCAAGAUUGUAAACCUGCCUUAACUCCCAUUGAUCCAAAAAUUGAUUUUGUUAAAAAUGUUGGUGAUCCUAUGUCUCAAUUGGAUUACGCAAUAGUGAUUUGAUGCUUGAUGUAUGCAAUGCAUGUACAAGGCCAAAUAUAGAUUUUGCUAUAAGCGUGUUAAGUAGGUACACAAGCAACCCAAGCAAACAACAUUGGUUAGGUGUAACUAGAGUCUUGAGGUAUCUAAAACAUACUAAAGACUAUUAUGGCAUUUGCUAUAGUGGCUAUCCUUCCAUAUUAGAAGGUUUUUCGGAUGCUAGUUGGAUGACAAAUAAAGAUGCUCAUUCUUCUAUGAGUGGUUGGGUCUUUAGGUUAGAUGGAGGAGCAAUUUCUUGGGCGUUCAAGAAACAAACAUGCAUAAUCGACUCCACCAUGGUAGCUGAAUUUAUAGCUUUGGCUUCAACUAGCAAAGGAUCCGAUUGGUUACGAAAUUUGCUACACGAGAUACCAAUGUGGCCAAAGCCAAUUUCACUAAUCUCCAUACACUAUGGUAGUGCUGCUACGCUUGCUAAAGCUUAUAGCCAAGUGUACAAUAGCAAAUCUAGACAUGUUGGAUUAAGCCAUAGUCUAGUAAGAUAUCUGAUCAUGAAUGGUGUGAUAAUCAUAGAUUUUGUAAGAUUAAAAGAGAACCUAGCUAAUCCUUCAACCAAAGGAUUAACAAAGGAAGUAGUGGUUAAAACAUCUAAAGAGAUAGGGUUGAAGUCCAAUCCAUGAAUCACUAACAAUGGAACCUCGAUUCAACACAAGUUAUAACAACCAGCCUUGAAUUCAAUGAGUAAAAGUACAUUGAUAUGGUGGUUUGAACACUAUAAAACUUCCCAAAAGGUGUAGUGUGAUUUUUCUCGCUUGAAUUGAAAUGUUGAAUUUAGAGUUCUUAAGAAGUUGGUAAGAUGCUACAAAUGGCGAGGGCAUUAAGAGCCUGCCUAUAUGAAUGUUGAAUUGAUGGUAUCCACAAAGUUUAGAACUUAACUUUGAAUACGUUCAUGAUAGGAUAGGGAUACAAGACCUAAUGUACAGCUUAUAUAAACAAAUUGAAGAGAAGUGAAUUUGUGUGUAUUAAUUUAUGUGGCUUGUUGCAUACACUCUUAGUUCAAAGAUUGUCUACCAAAUAGUAUUAACAAGUUAUAAUCAAUUAACACUAAGAUGGUGGUUCAAUCGAAAGAUACUAUUGUUUAUGCAUAGAUUAUCAAAAUUUUUAAUAAUCCAUAAAGAAAUUUUCAAUAUGUUGAAAAUAGUGGGGGAUUGUUAGAAUAUUUUAAAAUAUUGAAAAUUCAGACAAAAUUUUAGAUAUAGCUUUCUACAUUUCAUUCACAACCUUUCAGGUUUCAACCGUCAUAUGAAGAGAUACAACUCCAAGCAUGUUUCUAACGAUUAAUAACUAUUUAGGAGACAUGAAAUCUUAUUUAUAUGGAUCAAUUUGUUCAAAUUGUGUGUUCAAUUAAGCAUUCAACAGCUUAUACCUUCUCUGGUGAUGAAUGCAUCGAGGCUUACAAUUUUUGAACAUAUUGGAGUCCUAAUAGAAAACAAUUCAUGCAUAAACCAUAUUUUAGGCCUCACAAGUUCAAAGGAUCAGAACAGAUUUAGAGGAAAAGCAAUGCAACAUCAAAAAGUAUUAUGUUGUCGACAAUCCUACUGGAGAUCUUCUCAUGGUUAUCAAACAUUAUGCCAAUCAUGAUGCUUAUGGUGAUGUUAUUAUUCUUAAUGAGGAUAACCAAAAUGCUGUCCCAUACAAGACUCUAAGGUUUGAUGUUUACAAGUUGAAUAUGAAGGAGAAAAAUGUAGAAUAUGUGGACUGUCUCGAUAAUCGCGUGAUUUUAUUGGGAUUGAAUCAAUUUUUCGUUCUGUGUGCAAAUGAAUAUCCGGGGUUGAAGAGGAAUUCGGUGUAUUUUCUUGAUGAUUUUCCUGAGAAGAUUUAUGAUUUCAACUGUGCAUAUGAAGGUCAUGAAUUAGGUAUUUAUGACUUGGAAGAAAACAGCAUUACCCCUUUUCUUCCGUUAGGAAAACCCAACAAGAUUUAUCAGCAGAUGUUCUGGAUUGAACCUCUUAGUUCUUUUGCUUCCCUUUAGUUCUGACAAGUUAGUUCUAUUGCUUCCCUUUUGAUCAUUUCCUCCAACAAAUUUGAAAUGCUUUUGACGUAGGCAAAAUUUUUUGACAUUAUUCAAUUAUAAUGGAAUUGGUUUACAUGUUGAUCCAUUGGCUUAUAUACCACUGCAUCUUCAUAUCAACUUGAGGUAGUAUAUGGUUUCCAAACUCUUAUUGUGAUUGGAAGAAUUAUACAUUAAAUUGGGGUCGCUUGCUUGAAUGUUGAUUGAAACUCAGAGACACUAAAUAUUUUUUCAUGGUUUUCAUGUGGUUUGUAUGCUUGUUGUGCUUUUUAUAUAAUAUGGUGUAUUUUCAUGAAAAAAUUUGUGAUAUGUAUAGAUUUUUCUUCUAUAUUUAAAUCGAUAUAUAAAUAUAAUCAUGUUCAUAAGUAUACACCAAAAAUCGCAUCAAACUCCAACGUUACCUGCCCAAUCCCAGAUGCUCUCCAUGGUGUAAGUUAUGCCCUAGUAGCCUAACUUAGCUUGGGUAUAUCUAACUGGUUUUUUGAAAAUUUAAAAAAAAAAAAAAAACUUUUAACUAUAAUUUCUAACUGAUUAUGUUGGGAGAUAAUUCGAAGUGCGUUUAUUGUUGCAAGGUGGACUUGAUCCCACAGACAAAUAACAUAAGACAACACAUAAUCUUCAACUCUAAUUAUUGUGACAAUAAAUAUAAUAGGGAAAAGAUGACAAUGAUUGUCGAAUCAAGCUAAUAUUAAUCUGAGCCAUAGUUUACUUUUUUAGUUUUCCAGAUUGUAAAGAACCAGAGUUGCUAGAACCAAGUAAUAAAUUGAAAUGCUGAAGAGAAGUAUCUUUUUUUCAUAUUUAUUUUAAUUCCCAGCAUAAACACACACAAACGAAUUUCCUCUCGAGUAAUUUAGUUGGAGGGUUUUCAUAAAAGUGCCUCUAAUAACAUAACCUCAAUAUAGCAUUUAGAUUCAAAAGACCAAACUAUAAUCAGCUAAUAUUAAGCUUUUGAGAAUAAGAUCACAUAAAUAAGGUAAUCUCUUAUUUUUAUUUUUCAAAUAAUAGUAACGCAUUAAUAAGUUAUUUUGCUCUUAUCAUUUUAACCAUGCAUUAGCUCCCAAGCGUGUUCCUAUUUCGUUGGAUACAUUAUUAUUAUUAUCAUUAUACUCUCAACCACUAUAAGGCCGACGAGGGGAAAAAUAUGCGACUCAAAUUGACAGUGAAAUUAGGUUCCCCAAUCCGCCAAGUGAAAAAUGCGAGAGAGGAUGAAAAGGUUCAUUGACCACGAGUUCCUAAAGUGCCUCUGUAGCAUUUCGACAUUGACAUCAACCAAAAACAUUUAAUUUUAGUCAGAGGCAAGGAAAUCUCGACUAUGUGAUACAAAUGAAAAUGCUGUUUGCGAAAAGAGAACUUGCAAAAAGCAUAUUAUGGUGAACAAGGAAAAAUGUGAAGUAUGGAUACCUCCUUAAUUUGACCUAGUUCAGAGCUUGUCAAUAACAUUCACUGAGAUAGGUUAACAGUAUCUACCAUAUCAAAGUGACGCUCCCUCUAAAUGGUAUUUACAGAAGAUAUUACUUGGAGGUGAACCUGAGGUUUUCAUCAAAAGGAUAACUUUUUCCCUUGGAUUGACAAAUACCUGCUAUAUUUUUUGUCAUGAGCGUUGGCAAAAAUUGGUAAAAUAGCUCAUUUCCCUGUAGGCCCCGUUUGAUAACCAAAACAAAAGAAUACUGAAACUCGAGUACUUGAGAUUUUUACCAUGCUUGAGGUGUUUGAAUAACUUAGCAUUGCUACUAAAGACAAAAAAAGUAAAAUUACAGACAUUUCGACUGGGCAAAACAUCGAGAAGAAUAUACAGUUGUUAAGGAGAGUAUCCCCAAUCUUUUAACCUAUCCAACUGAUCUUUUAUAAUGAUGCAACUUAGACAGGAAAUAUCAUGCUAUUACCAGAUAAGUACUAGUUACUGUUCUACAAGUAUGCUGUGAAGUAGUUACUCGGUUUCCAGGGCUGCAAUCUCAUACCUAACUUCUUCCAAAUGUUCAUUUAUGGUAAUUACAGCAUUCUGCACACCUUUGAUGGCUUCCUUUAGAGCAUUAUCGUACUCUGCAUCAGCCUCUGCCUCUUCAGUUCCAGAGGCUUCAGUUAUCUUAUUGAUAUGCACACACUGGUGUCCAAUUGCCCUAUUAAAUCUGCAAUUCUCGUGGCUCACAAGACGUUCUGAAGGACGGCCAACCUUCUUCAACACCUGAAUGGUAGCAGUCUGCGAGCAAGAGACACAAGAUGUAUCAAGCAGAAUAAUUAGCACCAAACACAGUGCAUAGAAAGAGAGUUACUACAGAACUAAUUGCAUACAAGGUAACACCUAAAUACACCAAGACGGAUGAUUUGAACAAACAAGCCAUCAUAAUCAAAUUGUUUGCCAUCAACCAGUCAAAAGCCAAACAAGGUCUGAGACCUAAUCUGUCAAUUAUUGAGUCAUACAAGCGCAUCCAGAAAACUAGAACAUUCCAGCAGUUAGGGAUUAAAAAAUUAAAAAAUAAAAUAAAAACUCAUACUAAAGGCUUUGGAAUAAUGUAGGACCACAGACUAAAUGCUUUGAAACCAAAACAAAACUCUGAUAAAACAACAUCCUGAAAGCACGUAAACACAGAUUUUAAGCAUAAUCAUUUACGAGAAAGGAAAUAACAAGUUAAUCUCUGAUUACUUGUUGAGGAAAAAAUGUCAACAUAACCUUCAUGUUCUAAAUUAAUGCAUCCCAUGCAUGAUGUGUGUGUGUGAGAGAGAGAGAGAGAUUCCAAGUGCACUAACAUGACCAGAUAAUUGCAAGACAGAGUUAAGCUCACACACCCUUGAUUUGCUUAGUCUCCUUCGACAAUAUGAACAGUAAAACUAAAACAACGAUUCAUGCACUUAACACUGAUCUGUGGGAGUAAAUGAGAUGUAUAUCAAAAUAACAGCAUAUUAAAUAUGUCCCACGAAGAUAGGUAUCACACAAACACAUUGACUUAUAGUUGAAUGUGCAAUUCAAUGUUCUUGUGAUACCAAUUUAAGCAAAUUGACAGAGUGCAACAGCAUAUUUGUGCUCUGGAGAUGCAAUUCUUCACCUUUCCAUGUUCCAAUUACCACCGCUUUAACAAUGGGCUUAGUUUAUAUCAGCAUAUUUCCCUUGGAAAAGGUAGUUGUCAUCAUCCACACCAGCAGGCCAUUUUAGGAAGUUAUAUUAACGGGAUGUGUUACAAUUCCUUGCCAUACUGAAGAAAGCAGAACGCUAAUUGAUGGUUGCUCAUCUCAUCAAGAAUGACCAACAGGCCAACCAUAAUUAGCAUUGUAUCUGUAACCGGAUCAUGCAAUGCACAGUAAAAGGAAAGAGGCACGUGUCAUUACUUCAUGACCAUGGGGGUUACAGGAAAAAGGACUCAGGCAAAAAUAUGGAAACCGUUCAUGCAAUCUUAAUUACCUUUUCCUGUUUCCCUUUCAAUUUCUUUUUAUAAAGUUACUUUUCCGAAUAAGCUGAUAUGUUAAAUUUGUUAACAUAAAGACAGAUAGAUGCAAAUCAUCAUCUUUUUCUCUUCUUUUUUUAGCCUAUUUUCCCCCAAUAAAGAUUGUGAACCUUAAUAAUUUCUCCUAAACUCUCCCUCUUCGAAUAAAUGAAUGAUAUACAGAUCUCAAAAGCUACCUAGGUUUAACUUUGAAAUGGAAAGCAAGCAAUGUAAAAAUCACAGAAAAUCUUGGUAAAGGUAAAAGUUUAAACCGCUUCAUGAAUUUCAGACUCUCUGUUCUUCCAUAUAUGCUACAUAAUUCUGAACGUCCCAAUUAUUAGUUUCUCUGCUCCUCAAACCAAUAAUUUUUUAGAUGAUCUAGCAGUACUUAAAUUGUAAUUUCUCCUUGUCCUUAAUUUCACCAAGAUGGACCUAGAAUUCUUGAAUUAAACCUAAAGAAUCAUUUUUUAGUUUAUUAAGCCAAGAUAAAGGCUCUCAUGUAAGACACCAUAAAGAAUAAACAGGGAUAGGGUCACUUCCUGGAUAAGAGAUGAAAUUGGCACAAGAGCAAGGCCUUCAGACUAAUUAAUCAAUGAUUCAAUGAAAGACAAAUUCCAAGGAAAAAAAAAGAAACAAAAACUUGGAUGUUUAACUCAUUCUUGUCGGAGCUUUAACAUCUUAUUAUUUGACGUGAAAUUGUUCUGAAUCCUUCAGGGAUCUUUCAGUGAAACCCUGCUUGCUCUAUUUGGAAUAUCUUACAGGAGUCUCAAGACUUCAAAAAUAGAAAAAUUCUAACAGCUCAGUCAACUUGGGUGUCAAGUCAUGACUAAAAUGUUUUAAGUAGUUUCAGGAUCUGUUUACAUUCCAUUGAAUUAGUUCCAAGAACUUAAAAAAAAUAAAUCAGUGUUUAAGAUUUGCAGUAUGAAAAUGAUUUGCUCAAUCUCUAUACAAAGCUACAAAGCACCAUGAACCUAAUUGACAAAAUUCACUUAUUAGAGAAACAGGAUAAAAGGGAUCAGAAAUCAGAGAAAGACUCUCAAUUUUCAAAAAGUACAUCAACCCAAUGCUAUUGUUUACUUGCCCCACCUAAACAUAAACUCAAAGUAAAGACAAGCAUAAGGGCAUACGUUGUCAGGGAAUAAACCAUAUUUCCCACAAUGGGUUGAAAACCAGAUAUUACAUUAUAAUUCACUUAAAUGAGGAAAAGUCAAGAUACUAAUGCCCAUUGAGGUAAUGGGUGCAAGCACACGUAUGCAUUUUGAUCCAGCUUCACAUAGAACCUAUAAAACUGGAAAUGAGAUGAUGGUAGUGGAAUUGAUUUGGUACUGGAAAUGCAUGAAACCCCACCAAAUCAAUUCUUGUGUUACUGGUUAAUGACUUGUGCAUCAUCACAAGAUAGUUGCUAGCCAACAAGAGCACCUGGCAGGAAUCAGAACUGGAAAUUACGUCAGGCAUCUUGGUUCUACUCCGUUACUGACAUUAGGCUGCAAAAGACAUGCUAAGAGAAAGACGGAGACUCAGAUUUUUUUGGUGCUUGCUAGACAUCCGGAUGUUAGAUGACCAGACUUGGCAAUUACAGUAUUACUAAUGACAGUACUGGGCCUUUGGAAGAGGAAAACACGUGUGCUUAUAAAAAGAUGUUUUCUUUCAUCUGGGAACAAGGGAAAAGUGUGUGACAGAUACAUAGUUUGACAUGUCUGUGUAACAUGUGUGCUAAUGUAAAAAAUGUUUUCUUUCAUCUGAGAACAAUGAAAAAGUGUGUGACAAACACAGAUGUGUUUGACUUAUGUAAGUGCAUGUAGCGCACACUUGCAUGCACACACACACACAGAGGGAGGGAGGGAGGGAGGGAGGGAGGGAGGGGGAGAAGGAAUAAGAGAUGCCAUCAUUUAAUAGUUAUAACAGGAAAACAAUAUUCAGACCCUAAAGCACUCUCCUAAAGCACUAUCAACCUUGUCAGCAAAUACACAUAUGCUCAUUGAUUUAUUAACUGGAGGAACAAAGAAACAUCGACCCAAAAAGUAAAAAGUACCAGUUGCAGCUUCUGCUUUUCUUGUGUUUGAACUGAUUUGAGUAGACAAGCAAGAUCCUCCCGAAAGAAAUCAGCGCUGCGAAAGAGUGAUUCCAAAUCAAGGACCUGCAUUAAAGGAAUUACUUUAAAUUUAUAUGCUAAAGAUGGCAUAAUCCAAAGGAACAAGAAAGGGUACACAGAAGGGCCCGAUUAAAAGUCUAAACAAAACAACCCUGAACAUGUCCCUCAAUUUCUAGACCUCCUAAGAAGGUUAUAAUACAAAACAGUAACUACUACAAUAACAAAAAACUAAAAGCAAAUGCAAAACUCACUAACUUCUCUUGAACAGUCAUUGAAUUCAACAGUGAUCUCACUGCAAAGUUGUUGGUAAGCUGACUCACUUCCUGACACCAUAUAGUCCUCAAAUCCACUGUAAUACAACAACAUUGUAAGAUCACAAAAGAACAAUAAAAAAAUAAUCCAUCAUCCUAUUCAUUUGGAAAUUGGUACAUACAUAAAACCAAAAUCUGUUUCUUUCAUCCAAUUGAUAAAGAUCAAGGCAACUCAUUAGUAACUUAACCACUGCAAUACAACAAAAUUGUAAGAUCAGCAAAGAACAAUAAAAGAUUAACUCAUCAUCCUAUUCAUGUGGGAGGUGGUGCACACAUACAACCAAAAUCUUUUUUUCUUUUGUCCAAUUGACAAAGAUUAAGGCAACUCAUUAGUAACUUAACCAGGUUGUCACACCUACAUAGCCAUGGUUCUUUAAAAAGGAAAUAAGGAACCCAAACCAGUACUGCCUCCAUCCCAUUGAUAAUGCCCAGUUUUCUUUUUUGGCCUUUCCCAAAUUCAUUGUCGCCUACCCAGAAUGGAUAAUGUAGUUUUUGUCCAAUUCAUAUAUUUACCCUUGUAGUACAUAGAUUCCCUAACUUUUACUGAUGAGUUAAAGGGAAUGGGAAGCACUCACAAUGUCAUGCAAAUGGUGUUUCAAAAGGCUUAGAUUUUAAAGGAAGCUAUUGAAAGCUUUUUUAGGUCGUAUAAUUGAGAUAAACCACUAAAAAUUGUGGAUAGCGUUGCUUACAUACACUCUAUGGCCAUCACUAAGAAAUAAAAAGAGCUUGUAAUCAUCAGUCAACUACUGGGCUCAGUGCGGCAAACUAGUGUUGAGAGAGAGAGAGGGAGGGAGGGAGAGAGAGAAUAUCUGUGGUGCCUAAUCUACUUUUCUUAAUCUACUCAAAUUCCCAUACAACAACAUGGAAAUUAGCUUGUCAAAAACAAGAAACUCUAGUUUCCAUCAGAAAUCCCCUGUAGAAUCCGAAUUCCAUUUGUAACAAAGAACAUUAGGGGCCUAGCAACCCUCUCUUUUCCCGUACAUUAUGUCUUAUGCCCUGUCUUAACUCAUUCAGGGCAACUAAUAAGUACUGAUCAAUACAAAUUUUAACAUUGCAACAAAAUUAUCAAACUACAGAAAACACAACAUAAUUGUCUUAGCCAAUUUCUUCAACUCUGCAUUACUAAUCUACUACCUUUUUUUUCCCCUGCAACGGCAACUAUCUAUCCUUUUCUACACUAAUCAACACUAUGGAGGAAGGGGAGCCCAAAGCAGCUUGUUUGGGGGCUGGGGAGUGAACCGCCAAACCCGACAAGUGCACUACUACACUCUCUGGACUUUUUAAGAACAAGGAAGAACUAUAAUUCUUUGUGGGAGAGCUUUAAAGAGGCUCUCCCUGGCCAUUGGACCAAGGUCCAAUGGUUGCACUACUGGUCUAUUAUCACCAAGCACUAAAGUCACCAUGCACUCCAUCAUCCCCCAUUCAAUACCACAAGAAGACGCUUUUCACAUACUUCAUCCAUAGGCACAAUAUACCUAAAAUCUGUAAUUUUUCAAAAAAACAGAACAGAAGUCUGCAACCUUCCAAAACUACACAUUCGGCAAGCUAUCAAGGAUCUACAAUUCCCAACACUUCCUUGUUUUAAAGGAACAUAUAUCAUGCCCUUGUUAUCCUCCACAAAAAUCUAAAACUUUUCAACUUCUCAUUACUAAAUAGGAGAAAUCUGUCAUAACGCAAGCCGCAUAAAUUCGAUUUCAGAAGCUCCACUUACUCAUUUUAAAUUUCUGCAAAGAUUCUGUCAUUCCAACAGUUCAUUGUUCUUAAGGAAUUUAAUUAAGCCCUAAUUAUCCUCCAAUGCAAGCUACAAAAUGAUAAAUCAUUUUCUAAAACAAGAAGAAACUCACGAAAAUCUAACCGUGCAAAUUUGAUUCUCAGAAGCUCCGUUUGCUAAAAGAAAACAAGUAUCAAAACUCAAUUAAAAGGAAUUUCUAAUGAAAUUUUAAAAUUAUCGAACUCAAUUUUUUUUAACCUUUUGAGUUUUGCAUAAGCUUGAGCUCUGCGUUGUUGGACGGCGAGGAAUUUACGAAGUAAACCCACGAUUUUUGUAGCGCUUACAACAACAGUAUCCUCGGUAUCCAUCUUGUCUGGUUCAUCCGAGAUUGAAACCUUCUUCUCAAAAUCUUCCAUCUUUUUUUUUUCUUUUUUUUUUUUUGUCUUUCUCUUUGAAUUUAGUCUGCACUUUCGGCUUUGCACGGGAGGGCGAGGAGGAGAGAGAGGGGGAGGGCAGUAAUGGACCGAUGGGCAAGAACCAAAAGGUAUUAGUUUUUGUUCAGAAUACUGGAAUAUUUUUAGGGUUAAUCACAUUUUAUCCCCUUAAAGAAUAUCCAAUUUCUCAGUUUAUCCCCUAACCUUUAAUUUUGCUCACUUAACCCCAUUAGAACAAAAUUACCCUUGCAUUAUUUUGACUUUUCAUUUACCUUAUUUUCCUUUCUUUUAUUUCUUUUUCUCUUUCUUCUUUAUUUAAUUCUUCCUCUUUCCCACAAAAAUUUUCACCUUAAUGAUUGAAAUUAAAAAAGAGGAAUUGCAGAGAUCUAUCUUCUCCUUAAAUGAUUAAAAAAUUAUUCAAAUCACUUUCUAAAAUACAAUUUUUUUAGCCUUUCAAUUCUUUUAAUUUUGGGUUUUCCUUUUUCCUUUCUAGUUUCUCAUUUUAUUCCCAAGAAAAUAUCUUAAGAUGAAAUUGUGGCCUGAUUAAUAAUUAUCAAUUGAAAUUUGUGACACGUGGCAUCAUACAAAAAUUCAAAAUUAGUUUUUGAUGCCUUUUAAACCUUCACCCAAAAAUAUGCAAUUACAAACUCAAAACAAAAAUUUUCAUUGAAAUAGAAUUUCUAUUGGGAAGAAUGAAAGAGAGAAGAAAGAGAAAAAGAAAUAAAAGAAAGGAAAACAAUUUCAUCUUAUGAUAUUUUCUUAAAAAUAAAAUGAGAAACUAGAAAGGAAAGAGAAAAAUCCAAAAUUAAAAGAAUUGCAUAAUUUUUUUUUUUAAGUGUAAGCAGAAGAACUCGAACUCGAGACCUCUUGCUUACACUCCCUCCCCCCAUGUCACCCAACCCAUCCCCCCCCCAAAUUAAAAAAAUUGAAAAGCUAAAAAAAUUGUAUUUUAGAAAAGUGAUUUGAAUAUUUUUUUAAUCAUUUAAGGAGAAGAUAAAUCUCUGCAAUUCCUCUUUUUUAAUUUCAAUCAUUAAGGUGAAGAUUUUUUUGGGAAAGAGGAAGAAUUAAAUAAAGAAAAAAGAGAAAAAGAAAUAAAAGAAAGGAAAACAAGGUAAAUGAAAAGUCAAAAUAAUGCAAGGGCAAUUUUAUCCUAAAGAGAGUUAAGUGAACAAAAUUAAAGAUUAUGGGGUAAACUGAGAAAUGGGAUAUUUUUUAAGGGAAUAAAAUGUGAUUAAUAUUUUUAUAAUGACACCUCAUUUCAUUUCUUGGAUUGUGAAAGUAAAGAAAAUGACUUCAAUUCUUGUUAUUUGUUCAUUAUUUUGCCGGACACAAGAUUCUAGAUUCUACCUACGCCUACUAUACUAGGUAGCCAAGCUAACGCUAUGAACGAAAGAGGAACAGUAAAUCUAAAAUAUUGUAGUGCCAAUUUAUUGUUUUUUCCUAGCAGUUUUUGUAUUGGCUUGUGCAUGUAAAUAAAUGGAUGAAAUUUAUUUAUAUAAUUAGUGUAGAGGAUUGAAAUUAAAUACGGAGCCUAACAACUCUAAAUGUAAAUGCAAGUUUAUUUAUUUAAAAAGAAAUAUGAGUGUAUCAUUGUGAGGAUUUGUGCUUUAGUUUUUUUUCCUUUUUUAGAUUUUUCUGUUGUUUGAGAUUUAGAGAAAAAAGAAACACCAAGAAAUUAUAUAUUUGUAAUCAUAAAUAGAUCCUACAUUAAAGAUAAUUUAUUUUGUAGUAUCAUAAUUGGAUUGAAGCAAAGGGCUAGCAAUUGUGACUUAAAUCUAGCCAUCAAAGAAAUAGUCAAAAUUUAUAUUUUUGCGAUGAGAGAAAAGGUACAUAAAACAAAAUUUAUUUUAAGCUAUCAUGAUCAAAGGAUAAAUUAAGAGUCUUAGGGCAAAUGCUGCCUUAUGUAUAAUUUAUGUAUAGUAUUAAAUUAAAAUUACAGAUAAUGUAGCAACUCUCUAUGUAAAUACAAGCUUAUUUAUUUAAGAAAAAAAAAAGAACUACCAGAAAAUUAUAUUUUUGUGGUAAUAAAAAAUGCAUAAAGGAUAAUCUGUUUUACAGUAUUACAACCAAAGAAAAAGCCAUUAAAGUGUAAGUGUAAAUGCAACCUUAUUUAUUUAGAAAGUAAAUAUAACUAUAUUAGGUGUUUGAGAAAAAAUCGAACAAAAGUUAUAUUUUAGUGUUGAAAAAAAUGUAUAAAAGAAACAAAACCCUUUUAUUUUUUUUAUUUUAUAAUAUUAAUUCUUCUUUUUUGUGGAUUUUCAGCUGGUGGGUUUUCAUUUAUCACAUGUUAUGUUCUUAGUUACCGUUCGAUUGUAAAAUUAGCACACAACUUUGUGGUGCAUUUUGCUAGAGUUUGAAACCUUUGGCCGUUAAUUCGAAGACGUUGUCCUUGGAUUUUCUCUUCUUUUUGCAUAAGAUGAUAAUACAAAUCAUAUAUUACUGUUCUACUACCUUGAAUUACCUAAUGUGAUUAGAUGUUUGCUUUUUCCCUUAAAGUUAGAUUGUACUUUGUAAAAAUACUAGCGAUUUGAUCAACUAUUGCAUGUACUUUUAUCAUACCUCCACCAUUAGAUUAAAGAAUAAAGCAAUGGGUUAGUUUACUUACCAUUGACUCUCUUUUUAGAUGCAAAUCUUUACAACAUGAAACAUAUAAACUAGAUUUGACACUGCCAAAUAAAGUUUAAAACUUUUCUUACUUUCUUCCUUCUCAUUUCCACAUAAUAGAAAUGAAAAGCUCUAAAGUUCCUCAUCCUUUUCUUGUUUGGUAAGAUUUUAUUUGCAUUGUUUCUUUGUUACUGUACUUAUUCACCAUUUGUUAGCACGCUAAGAGAUUUUUUUCUGAAAUGCUUGAUGCUUUAGUUUUGUAGAAUUUAGUUGAGGCUCGACCACAUUGAAUUUUCUAAUUGCUCUCAACUAGUUUUGUCGUGCUACUGGAAACUUGCUUGUUUAUUGUUUGGUUAAAUGUUCUUAGGCAGUUGUUUUCGGCGGAGUUCCUUAUCAAUCAAUUGGCUAUAAUUUGAUAACUUUGAUUGCAAAUAGCUAGACCAUAACUGAAAAAUGAUGUGUAAGCCUUAACAAGUAUCAUUGUAUAUGUCUCCUACACUUUUGACUAUGAAGUUUACCAAUUAAACUCUAGGAAAUCUUGGCAGGCUAUUUAACCUACUUUUUCCCUAUUUGGUCUUUCAUACUACAUCUUGCUUUGAAGUUGGUUGGUUUUCAUAAUUGUUAGUUAGAAAUACUAAAGUUGUCUGCAAGUACCCAAUUAUAUAUAGGUACCGAAGAAAAAAUAAAAAACAAACAUUUCGAUGAUUGCCAGCUCAAAAAUUAACAGAGACUACAUAUAAAAAUAAAUGGGCACAAACAAUUCAUUAUAUUUUUCCAAAAAUAUGAUUGCAAUUGAAAACUUUUGGGUGGGCACUAGCUGUGCAUACAGCCAACCUCAAUUAGUAGUAUCUAAUCUUUUUACCCCUAAAAAUGACCACAUAUAAGUCAAGUGAUGGACUAAGGAUAAAAUGUUGUUGAAAACCUGUGUUAGAAUCAAAUUUUACUUAUUUGAAUUUGUAAGGGAUAUAAAAUUAAUAUUUUAAAAAUGAAACACGAAAAAAUUUACUUGGCAAAAUAUGGGUGGCGUUUGAACAAUUUUCUCUUUUAGAAAUGUUAUUGAAAAUUUUUGAAAAAGAAAAAUCCUACACCAAAUGACAUUCAGCUUAUACAGAUACAAAUUAAAUGAUGGCUCACUUCUUUAAUUUUAGAAAUUGCCAUGUUUAUAUCUAUCGUGCUUAACUAUAACGUGGUUUAUAGUCACUUUUUGUAGCUAAACUCUAUUUAUAAAAAAGAAUAGGAGAAAGUAGAGUGUAAUCAUUAGCAAAGCUAUGUACAUUUGAGGAGUGAGGGUGGGCAACUGCCCUUCCACCCCUCAAAUUUUUAAAAUCUUCUUUUAUACCUUAAAACUAUUAUCAAUCAUAUUUUAACCUAGUUAUAGUUUAAUAGUCCCCCCCCCCUCAAAUUACAAAACUUAUGUAUUGCACCCCCACAAACAAAAUAAUAUGGGGUACUUAUUAAAAUUUAAAUUAAUCAAAUUUCCAUGUAUAGUAAGAAACAAGUAAAGUAAAAUCUAAAAAAUAAAAAGAAGAUAAUAUAUGUAUAAAAAGUCAAAUACUAUCAUAUUAGAUAGAGAGUAAUAUGGAAGGGAUGGCCAAUUGCAUUUAAUGUGUUUAAUAGAGAAAAGAGCUAAUUAUGGGGAAAGAAGAACAACGCAAAAUACACUUAGAAUAUUCCUUUCUUUACUAAAUUUGAAUUACCAUGCACCAUUACUCUUUUAUUUGGUUAAUUUAUCAACUCACUCUUAAAUGAUUUAUAAUUGGGUAAUUUAUUUUGGAUAUUAAAUACACUGCAAUUUAAUACUCAUUAAUUAUGCAUACAAUUUUGUAAAACACUUAUAUUAUUUAUUCAACUAACGAAUAAAAUUAGUGAAAAUGCUAAUUCUAAUUUUUGCUUUUCAAGGAAACACAUAUAAGAGAAUUUUACAUGAUAACUUUGGGUAGUUUGACAUAUUUAUUGGCCAUAAUAGAUUUCUUAAGAUUAGUCAUUCUAUGCUAACUAUCAAUUAAUAAUACAAUACAUUACAUACUAUAUAAGAAAUUAGGCACUUUAGGAUUUUGUAGUUACUUAUACCACCAAAAUAGUUAUUUUGGACCCUGACAACUCCAACUACCACCAAUAUAGUUGAUUCUCAAUCCAAUCCUUAUAUUGCCCAACAAUAGACAGUUGCCCCUUCCCCUUCCCACGAUGCUUAGGUUUAAGUUUCGCCACUAGUGUAACUUUUAUAUUAAAAUUUAAACAUGGGGUAUGGUGCACUGUUUAUUGAAUAAAAAUAUGUAAUAAUUUUCUAUUUGAAUCAUCCUCAUCCAGGUAGGCGCACAUAUUAACAGCUCAAAAUGUAUAUUUUGUUUAUAAGUAUACUACAUAUGUAUGUGCACGAUUCAGAUGUACACAUAUUUCUCAUCAAGGGUCACAUGUUUAUUCAUUAGAUUAUGCAUGUACAAAUAGUCAUGUAUCAAUUUUGAAUGAAUGACAAUUUUACAAAUUUUGAAUUUAAAAUCUAACUUUGUACAUGUGUCAUGGAUCCAACAGUGAUAAUAUAUACAUUGUCAUUAUAUAUAAGAUUUAUUCUUUUUAUUCAUGUAUAUGUGUGUACAAAUAGUCAUGUUUAUGUUCAUCAAAGUACUCAUUCGGCUUCGCAUAUAUGUAGAUAUUUCAAUUAAUACGUGACAUUAUGAUAUACACUUUUGAUCAUAAAAGAACACCUUCUAUUCAUUAAGGUGCACAUUACUAUUGAAUAAAAUCAUAUUGUUAGGUGGACAAUUUAGUUUUUCUGUAAUAAAUCUAUUAAUUGUUUUAUUCACUAAACGAUAACCAGCACCCUAUUCCUAAAUUUCCUAAUACUCAUGUGCUCUUACAAAAAAAAAAAAAAAAAAUCUUCCUAUCCUCAUUUUUUCAAAUUUUCCAAAUGUUUUCUUAGAAAGGCUAUUAUAUAUAACUUUUGGGGCAUUUGAUAAAAAAAAAAUGAUUGGAAACGUAUUAAGACAAAAAUUAACAAAAGUUUCUUUUGUCUAAAAACUUGCAAUCCAUACAAGUUCCUAAGCCUUUUGGAAAAUUGAAGAUGCACAUGAAGAGUAAUUAAAAGGUCAGGAUAAAAUAAAUGCUAGUAUACAUUUUAACAUGGUGAAUUUGGCACAUAUUAGGAGCAAUGGUUAGAAAAAUAUUUUUUUAAGUUAGAAAAAUAGUUGUUUAUCAGCAAGACAUAUCGCAUAUUUAAAUUUUCUCUCAUUUAAUUUUGGACAAAUAAAGUUCACAUAGAAUAUUUUGUCAUGGGUAUAUGAGUUGUUCUACAUGUCGUUUCUACUAUAAUACUAUAAUAGUGUUGUCAUUAAUUACCCCUUCCUUCAUUUUCUUCUUCACCUUGGAAUGUGUGGGUUCUUUAUCUUCCUAAUUGUCAUGUGCUAGUCUUUUACUAUCCUUUCUUUUUGCCUUUGUAGUGAAAUUUAUAAUUCAAAUUUUUGUUUUAUCAUGAUCUAUAGGUGCAUUAUAAGUUUUUAUUUUAGAUUUUUGUCUUUAUUGUUAAGAACUUAUUUUGUAAAACGCAUUGGGUAGCCUUCUUAUUUGACAUUGCAGAAUUUUCUUUCGACAUUAUAUAAUUGAAUGUAUAUUGACAAUUUUGAUGGAUUUGGUGUAUAUAUAAUUUGUUUGUACAAGUGAAUCCAAUUUUUUCCUUUUGUUCUUGAUUCUUAAUUCGUCACAUACAUCCAUAGACAUUUUUUACUUGUAUAGUUGAAUACCAAUCUAUUAAUCCACCUUCUCUUCCCAAUUUCCAUUUAUCAUUCUAGCAUGAUGUCAAACCUUAUAAUCUCCCAAAAAUUUUCUAUCUAGUGUCCUAUAGUUGUUAACACACCUAAAUUAUACACCACUUAACAUAUAAAUUACACAAUUAUAUAUUGUAACCUUUACAUUUAAAUAUUUUUUCAAAUUAAUGAUACUUUUCCAAAAGAACUAAUACCUAAAACCCCUUUUAACAAGUACUUGUUGACUGUGAAAUAUUCUUGCUUUUAAUUCAUAUCAUGUUUGUUCUUUUAUCUUGGUAGAGUUCCUUUUCUUCUCUUUCAAGGGUGCUAUCUUUCAUGUCCUCCUUAGUGAUCUAGUUUCCAUCUCUUUUAUAUGGUUUAUUCACAUUCACUAUGUUUUAACUUUUAGAGUAUCUAUUUCUUUUGCAAAAUCCUUUUGAGUGUUUAUCACCUUCUCGGGUGAUUUUUUUUUUGUAAACUCUAUAUUUUUAUUGAUGAAUCAAUAAAGCACACAUAUAAUUACCAAAGUGUAUGCUAUUAAUGCUAUAAACAUCUUGCCCAUCCUUUCCACACAAGAUAUAGACUAUACACAAAGACCUAAUUUUAGAGACACAAACAGCAAUAGACAUUCCAAGUGCUUGACACAAGUUGAACUUUUCUACUUUUUUUUGUCAUAUUACUCCAUCAUGCAACAACUCCUUUUCAUAUCCUUAAUAAUUUGCUGAGUCAUGACUUCAGCAGGAUAAACUGAGUUUAGAAAUACUUGUUUGUUCCUACUGUUAGAGUGAGUUGAUUAUAAUUAUCUAUUUUUUAAAUUUAAAUUGUAAAUCAAUUAAAGAUUAGAUCAGGAUAGAAUAGGUUAGUUGUCAUUUUGAAUGUUUGUCUAGAUUUGUUGUACCUUAUCUUAUUGUAAGUUUAUAUAUAAGCCAUAUACCAUUAUACAUAGUUGUUGUGUGAAAUAGAAAAAAUAUUUUCCCCAAAAAAACUCUUUUCUUUUUACAUGGUAUCAAAGCAUGUAAAGAAGGAGGAGGGUGAUCAGAAUGAGACAAGUUAGAGGGCCGAUUGAGAAGUAUUACAAUGACCUUCAAGACUUAUGGAGAAAGAUCUAUUUCUAUUAGGCAAACUCAAUGGAGUGUGAUGUCAAUAUCAGUAGAUAUAACUCUCUCAUACAAAACAGAGGAUGUACAUUUUUCUCGAUGGGUUAGAUGAUUGAUUGAACAAGAUUCACAGUGACAUCUACGAAUGAAGCCGUUCCCAACAGUGGAAGAAGUAUAUGUCUAUAUUUGGUGUGAAAACAACAAACAAUCAAUAAUAUUGACAAGGGGAGACAACACAGUCAGCUCGAUCAUGAUGUCCAAACAAGUGAAAGGUGGAUUGAUUAUAUUGCCUCAAACUAAAGUGCCAACCGAUGGGGAUAGUUGUACUUACUGUAGCAAGAAAGGACACGCUCAUGAUAAUGUUUGGUAGAAGGAGCACAAAGGACAAACUCAUGAUGUUUUAAACUGCAUGGGUAUCCGGUUUGGUGGAAGGAGCACAAAAGACAAAGUCAACAAGCUGAUUGAUUAAAUGUUGUUGAUCAAAAUAGUUUUGGAAUAGUGGUUACUACAACUGCUGACUCAAUAAAAUCAGUUACGAUUUUUAAUAUUGCAUAGGCACCUUCUGCCGAUACCUCAAACACUUGUCAGCAUCAAGAUAAUUAUAGUCCUUAUGAGCAUGACAUUGACUGGAUUGUGGAUUCAGGAGCUACUAAUUAUAUGAUCUUUGAUUCAAAUGAUUUCUUAUGUGUUAUUUAUCCAAAAUGUUCAAUGAUCUCUAAUGACAAUGGUGUUAGAUAUCUAGUUACAUGGGUUGAAACUGUUAUCCUAUCAUCAUCUCCUUCUUCACCUAACACAUUAUUAAUUUCCUCUCUAGCAAAUAAGUUACUAUCUGAGUUAAUUAUAGCCGAUCUUAAUUUUGUAGCACAUCUAACCUUUUAUUUUCUUCAAGAUAUUCUCACUAAAGAGAUAAUCAGUCAUCGUACUAGGAAAAAAGGCUUAUAUUACAUAAAUGAAUUCAGUCAGGGUAAAGCUAAUCAAACAAAGAGCACCGAGAAUACUAAAGAGAAAGAGAUUUAGUUAUGGUAUCGGUGGUUUGGACAUUCAUCAUUCAGUUAUAUGAGGCAUUUUAUUUCCUGAUUUAUUUUUUACUAUAAACAUUGCUAAUCUAAAAUAUGAUACUUGUUUCCUAAUCAAGAGUCAUAAUGGUCCCUUGUUCAAUCAACCCAAAUAAAUGUAGUGCACAAUAAUGUCUUGGGGCCCUCAUCGAUUACUUCAUCCAUUAGUAUUCGUUGGUUCAUUCUAUUUGUGGAUGACUAUACUAGAAUGACUUGGUUAUACUUGUUGAAAUAUAAGAAUGAAGUGUUGGAUAUUUUUAAAUCAUUUUGUUCAAUGAUUCAUAUAUAGUUUUCAGCUACAAUCAAGAUUCUUCAGUUUGAUAAUAGUGGCGAGUGUGACAAUCAAAUAUUAUAGGACUUUUUCAAUACUAACAGUCUCAUACAUGAAAUUUUCUAUAAUCAGACUUCUCAGUAAAAUGGAGUGGUUGAGAAAAAAAAUUGGCAUAUACUAGAAACAGUACCUGACUUGCUAAUUAGUACAAAUACUUUGCACCGAUAUUGGCUUGAUGCAAUCACCACAACAGUUCCAUUCGUUAAACAAGAUACAUUUAAAAGCCAUAAGUUUUCAGGUUGCAAUGUAGGCUCUCUCUAACCAUUUCAUCCUAGCAUCGGUGCUAAUGAUUCCACCAUGAAUGUUUGGUUAUGUGGCUUUUAUUCAUUUACAUAAGAAUCACCACAGCAAAAUGGAUCCUUGUGCUAUCAGAUGUGUUUUUUUUUUUUCAAAUAUAUCGUGUACAACAAGGAUCAUUGGUCUUAUGAUCCAUCCAACAAGAAGAUGUAUGAAAUAAUGGAUAUUGUUUUUUUGGAAUCAGAAAUUUUUUUCAUCAUCAAUAUCCAAUUCUUCACUUUAGGGAGAGAUGAAAGAUAUGGAAGAGCAAAAUUGGUCAGAAUUGGCAUGGUCAUCAUGGCCAAGUACCAAUCAGUUUAAUGCCGAUUUACACCUUGAUAUUGAUGUAUCAAUUGUCGAUUUGCCAAUCAUCGAUGGUGAAAAAAGUGAUUUGCUUAUGACUAAGGGUGGAAAUACUCCUAGAACUAAUAGUACUCCUGAUGUCUCUCAAGAAAUUGUUGCUGAAUAUGUCUUUUGAAAAAACUGAUAUAGAAGUUGAUAUGAGAGAUAUAACUCCUUCCUCCUUAAUAUCUGAUCAUUUUUCUCUUGAGAAUAUUUUUGAUAUUAAUACUUUUACUACAUUUUCACUUUCUACUGAUUUGAAUAUAACUGCUCAUUAUAUGUUGCCUGACAAAUCUAAUCAUAGCAAGCAAUCAAAUCGAUAAUCUCCAGAUGCCUAUGUAAAACAGUCAAAAUAUUUCAUUGCUAAUUAUAUGUCAACUCACAGGCUAUCUAAAUCUUUAGAAUCAGCUGAUAUUCCAAUUAGACUAUAUGCUACUUUUAGGGAUCCAAACUGGACCAAAACUGUAAAGGAUGAAAUGUGGGCAUUGCAGAAAAAUAAUGCAUGGAUCUUAGUCCCACUAUCAAAAGGAAAGAGGACCAUGGGAUGCAAAUGAAUUUUCACAAUCAAGUACAAGGCUGAUGGAUCAAUCAACCGAUAUAAGGUGUAACUUGUGGCAAAGGGUUACUCGCAGACGUUUGGCAUUGGUUACUAAGAGACUUUCUCACCGAUUAGAGACAGUUAGAGUCUAUUAUCUCUUGCAGCUAAUCUUGAUUAGUUGUUUUAUUAGUUUGAUGUAAAAAGUAUCAUCUUGCAUAGUGAUCUUGAGAAGAAGGUGUAUAUUCCAUCUAGGUACUCCACAAUUUCGAAAGCAAAUGUUGUCUGUCGAUUACAUAAGGCAUUUGUAUGGAUUUAAAUAAUCGCCGUAUGCUUGGUUUAGCCGAUUUACUCUAGUUAUAAAAAAAAUGAUUUUCAAUAGAGUAAUGUAGAUCAUAUCUUAUUCUUGAAACAUCAGUUUGGAAAAGUAACAACACUAAUUAUCUAUGUCGAUGACAUAAUUAUUACAAGUGAUGAUGCAGAGGAUAUUUCCAACCUACACGACAGAUUAUCAGCUAAGUUCGAGAUGAAGAGUUUGGAAAGUCUAAAAUAUUUUUAGGUAUUGAAGUGGCAAGGUCAAAACAAGGCAUUUUCCUAUCUCAAAAGAAGUAUGUACUUGAUCUUUUGGCAGAAUUAAGACUACUAUAUUGCAAAUCAAAAGACACGCUGAUUAUUCAGAACCAUAAACUCAGAAAAUAUCCUGAUCAAGUGCCAACUGACAAAGAGAGAGAAAUAUCAGAGGUUAGUUAGUAAACUGAUUUAUCUAUCACAUACUUAUCUAGAUAUAGCAUAUGCUGUUAGUGUUGUCAGCUGAUUCAUGCACUUUCCUAAUAGUCGGCAUAUGGAAAUGUGAUCUAGUUCCUUCAAUAUUUGAAGGAUGCACCUAGAAAAGGACUUUUGUUUUCCAAGAAUAAUCACCUCAAUAUUGAAGAUUAUUCAAAUGCUAAUUGAGCGGGAGACCCUACCUAUUGGAAAUCGACUUUAGGCUAUUUUAUAUUUGUGAGUGGCAACUUAGUCACAUGGAGUAGCAAGAGACAGAAAAUGGUGGCUUUGUCUAGUGCAGAAACCGAGUUUAGAGGAAUGGUCAAAUAGGUUUAUGAACUUCUACAGUUUAAGAUAUUGCUUACCGAUAUCCAUCAUGCUCCAACUUCUAAAAUGGACUUGUUUUGUGAUAACAAAUUAGCCAUUGACAUUUCUCAAAAUCCAGUGCAGCAUGACUAGACUAAACAUAUCAAGAUUGAUUGACACUUCAUUAAACAAAACCUAAAAGAUAAUGUGAUAAGGUUUCCAUUUGUGAAAUCUGAAUAUCAACUAGUUAAUAUAUUCAUCUAGGCUGUGCCAAUUAAGAAUUUCUAUAAUUCACUUGAUAAGUUAGGCAUGUGGGAUAUUUAUGUACAAACUUGAGGGGGAGUGCUGGAGUGAUGUGAUUGUAGUUAUCUAUUUUUUCAAUUUAAACUGUAAAUCAAUUAAAACUUAUAAAAGAAUAGAAUAGGUUAGUUACCAUUUUGAAUGUUUGUCUAGAUUCGUUGUACCUUAAUUUGUUAUAAGCCUAUAUAUAGGGCACAUACCAUUGUAAUUCUUGUGUGAAAUAGAAAAAAUAUUUUCCCAAAAAAACUCUUUUCUUCUUUACACUACUUCACCAUAUAUGAUAAACAGUGAAAACAAAUGCUACUCUUUUCACACAACAUGCAAAAGAAUCUUUUGAGCAACGACAAAUCAUCUAGUCAACUUUCUUAUCCCAAUCAAUAGCUUUCCAAAAAAUCAAGCAUCCGCUUUGAACAAAUUCUAAUACAUAUUCCAAUCUAUAAACUAAGUAAGGGCAUAGGAAACAUAGAUGGGAAUGAUUCUUUAGGUUAGAAGAUAAGGCCAUAUCUAGGAUCCAUCACAAGAUACAGACUUGAGUCUAUACUUUAUACUUAGCCUCUGUCUACAUGUUAGCUACAAGAUGCAUGAGUGCCUUGUAUCAUGUUUCUUUCACCAAACAAUUUUAAACCAUGGAAUAGAAGCCUCAAGCCCAAUUAAGAUCAGCUGUAGAUUUACCACUAUAAACCAUUUUUUGCAUCAUGUAUCCACCUAGUAGUGUCAACUUCAACUUCAUUGGACAUUGGUAGAAUUUGAUCAGGAGUUGCAUCAAUUCGUUGUAGUAGCUCACCUUUCUUCACCUACCCUUAGUCCAAUGCCAUUUAUCACCCACAAUGAUAAGCUACUCUUGAAUUAGUGGAGUGUAUACGUUACACUCAUUUCAUUUUUCUUGCAAGGUCAGUGAUAUAUUUACAUUCAAAUAUUUUGUUUGCAUGAGAAUUCAAGGCAUAUUUAAAAUGAUUUUUUUCUGUAUUGUGCUCUAAUGACAGCUACAAGCAUACCAUAAAGUGAAUGUGAUCCCACUACAAAAUUUUAACAUUAUUACUAUCCCUUAAAAUAAAAUAUAUUUUAGCAUUAAUAACUUAAAAUUUUUCAAACAAGAUAACACUUAGCCACUUUUAAUCCUCUACCACUAGGGCAUGUAAUGGAAGAAUCAUACAUAAAUAUAUGUAUAUAUAUGUAUCAUUAGGGCAUGUAAUAGAAGAACCUUACAUAUAUAUAUAUAUAUAUAUAUAUAUGUACACACACAUACACAACUAUGUAGAAAUAUAAUAUAUGUACAUAAAUAUUGAAAACUAAAAGGGAAGUUGAUUGAUAGAAUAUAUAUUAUGUACUUGUAAAGAGAAUAUAUAUAUAUAUAUAUAUAUAUAUAUAUAUAUAUAUAUAUAUAUAUAUAUAUAUAUAUAUAUAUAUAUAUAUAUAUAUAUAUAUAAACAAAGGAACUCACCGGAGGCAAGUACUCAGGUGUUGUGUAGCCGUAGUUGUCCGAGACAACAAGUCAAGUACAAUUGGAGACUCAAUUUAACUCACACUUAGUUAGCCAACUCUAGCUAAGCCUAGAAUUUUAGACUUAGAUAAGAAACUCUACAAUUACUUUUUUUCUUUUGUCAAAAGUCUGCUUUGUAUGUAUGGGUGUAAAAGUAGAUACAAAAAUGUAUGCUCCUUUACAAAAGCCUAGCAAUUGUCAGAUAAUUUGUAUGUGCAGCAUCCCUCAGCCACAUAGGGAAGGACUCCUUUUACUUGAUCUCAUUCAAGAGGUUAAUGGCCAAUUCGGUCAAACCAUAACUACCUAGGUUCAUUUCCUUGAUUACAAAGGCAAAUGAACACUACCAAAAGGAUGUACUAAGUAAUCUAAAUCAUUAAUGAUAAUCUCUAGAGGGGUUAUACCAAAAUAAUCCUGAUUAAUCUUGUCAACAACUAAUUUACAAUCAGAGAAAAAGAACAUAAUAGAUGUCCAAUGUUUCUUCAACUCCAAUAGCUUAGCAGCUCAGAUGGUAGUUGCUUCUAGGAUUGCCGCAUCACAACCGAACUGGAUUGGGAUUGCCCGUGUUGUGAUGAUGUUUCCUUUCCAAUCCUUAACUGCAAUUCCCAUCCCAGCUUUGUUUUUUGAUGUGUUCAUGGCAGAAUCAGUAUAUAUCCAUAUUGAAUGUUGUGCGUGUUGUACUUUUAUCAUCUGUAGCCACUCCAUCUCAAUCCUUCUCAUAGGAUUGAGGAAUGACUGUAGGCUUACACUCUUUUUUUGCCUCUUUGAACUUAAACCAUUCUUCCACAGCUCUCUUGGCAAUCAGUUGGCCAUCUUUUUUGGAUAAGUUGAAGCAUUGUUCAUUCCUACUUUUCCAUUGUUGCCAAAGGAAGUUCGCCGUAGCCUCAAUAAUGCUCUUUCCCUUCCACUCUUGAUUUGGCCCCUUGCAUUAUCUCCCACCAUGUCUAGAAGUUCCACUUUAGUUCCUCAAUCCCAUCCCAUUGCACAGGAAAGGACUGUCUAUCUAGCUUUCCAAUAGAUCAAGAAGCCAGUUGUUUAGGGAUCUAGGGUUUGAGUUUAUGACCAAAUUACUCUUAACUAGUAGGAAGACUGGUCCAUAUCGUAGCCAUAGAAAAAUACAUCUGUGGUUCGAGUUUUAGGAUAUGCAAAAUGUGAGAAUUGGACUUUCAUAUCUCAUAACUUUGUACUCUUUUCUUUACUUUACAAUUCUUCAAAAAUCAUCUCAAUCCAAUAUCUGUAGCAUACAUUAUAGCCAACAUACUGAAAUAUGUCAUUUCUACCAAUCAUAUAUUUUAUUGUUUCUUGAUUGCAUUUCAUUUCUUAAAUUGAAUCUUUUGCACUUCAUGUUCCUUGAAGUCAACUUUAAAUUAUUAAAAAUCAUUCGAAUAUCUUUUCACUUCAAUCUAAUUGAUGAUUUUUACAAGUUUUAUGCUUAAGUUUACUUCACCUAAUGAAUCACUUUAUUUAAACCAUUAGCACUCCACAUCAUUAUUUAUUAAUCAUUAAAAUAAGUGUUCAUAUAGACCAUAAGAUCUUUAGUGGUCAUCAUCAAAAUCCCAAGAAUUAGAAAUUUUGCAUUUUGUUUACUAUUUGUGAGUUAUUUAUCAAAAAAUCACUGCAUUGAAACUGCCAAUUAUGGGUUAGUUCAUUGAUUGCAUUUAUCUUAUGAAAAGAAAAAAGUGCAUUGUUUGCCUUAGGGGAUAAUUAUUUGAGUUCUCCAGCAUAAAAAUUUAUGGUUAAUUAUGGAUUUUAAUAGUCCAAUUUAAGGAAAUAGUGAACACAAAAUAGAUUUAAAAUGAAAAGAGCAUCCUUUCCCUUAGAAAAUAUGAAAGUACAUUCUCGAAACAUACAACAAAACUUUGACAUUUUCUCACAAAGAUACAAAAGACAACCAUAAAGCUCAAAUCAUAUAAACAAAAAUAUUAUGAAACUUCAACAAAAUAAUCAAGUAUGCAACAUAUACUUCAUCUUUAACAUAUACUUUGUCCAUGUAGUCCAAUUAUAUCCCUAGUUAGAAUAUUCUCC
Molecule: long non-coding RNA, 63426 nt
Filed under: Coffea arabica (coffee)
Lineage: Eukaryota; Viridiplantae; Streptophyta; Magnoliopsida; Gentianales; Rubiaceae
Description: long non-coding RNA (CARA_LNC001904)
Source: RNAcentral